AAAAGAAGAUUAAAAAAAGUGUACAAGGUCGUUAGAAAAUAUAAGAAAAUUAAGAAAAAGAUUAAAUACAUGUGUUUAUUUAUCCUAAUUAUUUUUUGUUUCUAAAAUUCGUUUAUAUUUCAUGAUUUUUUGUCUAGUGUAUGCAGUUAUGUGUUCACAUGGAUUUCAAAAUUUCUCAUAUUUUAGGAAAGGAAAUAAUUGUGAACUGCUUUUGCUCUGCAUGAUGAGUGAGAGCAUUGAUGGACAACAAAUAUAAUUGAAACAGUAACAUACAAAUAAGAAAAGUGGGUUCUAUUUUAUUCCUUCAAAGACAAGUUUAGAAUGAAAUAGACCCACUAAGAGGUUCAACAAAAGAGUUUGGUUCAGAAAUCCACUUUCCAAUCUACAAUGUUCUAAGAAUUAAUGUUUAAAGUAUUUCAAAACUCCAUUCUAAGAAUUAAGGGUUGUAUAGGACCUCAUCACAACCCAAUUUCAUACUUAUUUCCUCUGUAUAAUAUCAUGGUACACUGCUACACACCAACUUUGGAAGAGCUGUGGAAGAAAUAAGGUAGAAAGAAACAAAAGCAUAAGCACAUUGUUCCAUUUAAAUCAUUAACUUAAAAAUCAAGAAAGAAUGAGUGCAUCCAUCAUAAAUACAUCAGUAUACAAAUUUUUUAUAGAGCUGCAUGUUUAGAUUUUUCCAAUUAAAGUGCAGUUCUAAAGCUUCACAAUGUUAAUUGCAUUCACAGCUAGCUUCAUAUUUAGAUAAAAAAAGUGUUAAAAUAAACAAAUGUGCUGCAAUGGAGUUGGACUAGCUACAGCUUGAAUUGAAUACACUCAGAGAUUUGGAACUUUUCCCAAAAUCCUAUCAAACUCAGUCUUCAUUGAACACCAUAAGACUUAUUUUAAUACCUAAAAAUCUUGAUGAAAUAUCAAAGACCUUUUUAAUAAGUUCCUUAGAUACAGAAUGUCCUUUAUGUCCACUGCAGUUUCCAUUAUGUCCACUGCAGUUUCCAUUCAAAACUUCAUUUUUUGGAUCAUUUAGUUCCAGUGAUCUAUUAUUAAGUUUAAGUUCAUUUUUUUGUCAGAAACUGUAGUAACAUGAAAUAAGAACACAGAAUACUCUGUUCGGAAUGGAUGCCAAAUGCCAAACCACCUUCACGAUUUUCGUAGUAUUCUAAAAUUAGGAAACACAUUCGGUUGGAAUUUAAUUUCAACAGAAAAAUUGAAAUAAUUUUGCACGAAAAUAAGAGUAAAAUAAAAGUAAUUGAUUCAUGAAAAACGUAGUUGAGUUCAAGUAUAUCAUGUGCUGCUCUUCUUUGAAAAAUGGCAAUUAUAGGGUUACCGUUUGCAACUAAGAAAAUGGUAAUCCAAAAGGUACAAAGAUAUUGUGGAGAAUUCUAACCUGUUGAAGUGCCAGACAAAUUCAAAUAGGUGCACGCCUAAUUUUGAACUUCUGACUCAUCUUAUGAUCGAAUAUCCAGUUUUUGGAUGUGAGCAAUCUUUCCCCAGUCUUCGCCAUCUGGAUUCCGACAACGCUUCCCCAGCAAUGGACAAAUCAAGAUUUUAAGAGAAGAGAUGGAUUUGGGGAGACCCUCCGCUGGUAAGCAUUCAAGGCUGAGACAAAGAUCAAGUGAGAGAGAGGAGAGGUGGCAGAGACCCUUGUAGUGCAUCUUUUUAAGAUUUGGACACCAACGGACUUGUAGAGAGGUGAGAGAGCGUGGCAGCAAAACUUCAUCGGGAAAACACUCCACCUCCAAAUUUUCAAUAGACAAGGUUUGAAGAGAUGUGUUGGGAUCCAAGUUGUCUCUCAAGGAGGCGAUAACUUUUAAAGAUGAAAGAGAAAUAUGUUUUAUAUUUAAUGGCAAACCUCCAUCUGGGUGGUAAGCAUUCAAGGCUGGGACAUUGAAGAAGUCUGAGAGAGGAGAGGUGGCAGAUACCCUUGUAGUGCAUCUUUUUAAUUUAAAUCGACGGCAAUCUUCAAUACGUAGAUCCAUGAGAUGAUUAUGAGCGUACUCCUGUGAAAUUCUUUCUAUGUGGUGGCAGUGUAUCAGUUGAAGAGAACGGAGCUUUGGAAAGAAAUGUAGUGGAAAGAUUGUAAGAGAGUCCGUGCCUCCAUCAGUAUGCGAUGCGUCCAUACUGUUUCCGCUAAUUCUGAGCUCAUCACUAACAACUUCUUUCGUACCUUUCAGUUUCGGACAUAUAAACACAAGAAGCUGUCGAAGACGUGGAAAAGAAGUAGUUUUACACUCCCAUUCUUCCCAUUCCUUCAUAUUGACGAAUGACAGACUCUCCAAGGAUGCAAACGAAGAGUUGCUCCCAUAAAAUUCAGCACCAAUGCUCACUAUUCCAUCAAGCCCUGUAAUCUCAAGGGUCUUCAGUGAUGACAAAAGUCCAAGGGGAGGCAAACAUAGGCAGUAUUUACAGUUCCCCAACUUUAAGAUCACCAUAUUUGAAUUAUCGAAUUCCCAACUUGGGAAUUCUCUACCAUUGUAGUUCCUGAUUGACAAAGUCUCCAAGUGAUUGGAAGGUUGUAGAUUCUGAAGUACUUCCUUUUCUUUCUUUGGAUCAUCAGUGACGUGGUUCCACUUCCAUUGUAAUACUAGCUCCACAAGACGUUUAUCUUUCAAAUUUGCUUUUAAUGCAUCCAAAGGAUUCCCAAUAUUCUGCACGUCAUUGAUUGAUAGCCUUCCAUGAAGAUUGAGUCCUCCCAAUUCGCCCAGUUGCUUAGUACUUAGCUCACUGUUUUUAUCCACGAAAAACAUACUUAGUACUUGAAGAUUCUUCAAUUCUCCAAAAUGCAUUGGCAUCUUUCUCACUUUUGUAUCUUCAAAUCCCAGGCAACGCAAUUUGGUAAGCUUAUGCAAAUUUAAGGGAAACUCCUCCAACAUUGAACAAAAGCUCAACUUCAAUAUUAGUAAGUUAUAGAGCAAACAUAUCGAGUCAGGUAUCUUUUUUAUCUUAGUACACCACGAAAGAUCUAACGAAUGGAGAUGUUUAAGAUCACCUACAGAAUCCGGGACCUCUCUAAGGAAUGAACAACCACUAAAAGAUAACAUGCGUAUAAACUUAAUCUUGGAAAACAAAUCAUGUAUCGAAAUCUUGAAAUGCCACCAAGCUACCCAAGUUUCUGAGAUAGGAAGAAAUGAACGAAGUCUUUUAGCAUCAGUUAAACUCUCAAAACCAUCAAAACUUUUCACGUCACGGAAUUUAAAUGAAAAAUGACGGGUUGUUUUCGGUAUACAUUGGCGUUUAUCAUAUUUCAACCUGAAACAGAAAUCCGCACAUACAUAUUUUGCCAAAUCAUUCAGAAGGUCAUGCAUGACGAAACGCCCUACGAAGCUUGAUUGGUUAAAAAAACACCUUGACAGUAGAUCAUUGAAGUACUCUUCACCAAUUUCUUCUGGAUCUCUAAUAUGUUGUGGACUCAGUAGAAAAUUUUGGGCCAUCCACAAAAAAAUUAACUCCUCCUUCACAAACAAAUAAUCUUUGGGGAAUAAGGCACAAUAAGCAAAGCACCUUUUAAGAUGAGAAGGAAGAUAGCGAUAGCUCAAAAACAACGCAGGAAUAAUUUCACUGUGUUCUUUUGGUAACUCCCAUAUGUCACUUACCAAUAUGUUCUUCCAAUCUGAAAUGGAUGACUUUGUGCUCAAAAGACAUCCAAUUGUUUUGAGAGCUAGAGGUAAUCCCUUGCACUUCUUAACUAUUCUUCUACCAACCUUCAUUAACUCAUCAUUCAAUUCAAGAUCACCAUCUUUUAAUGCAUGAUUUUCAAAAACUUUCCAGCAUUCAUCCUUUCCUAAUUGCUUUAGAAGAUGCACUUCAGACCUCAUGCUAGAAGCAACUUUCUCACUGCGAGCUGUGACAAGAAUUUUACUUCCUGGAGCCCCAUAGCUAAGAGGAGUUCGCACAGCUUCCCAUUCUGUUGGUCUUUCGUUCCAAACAUCAUCCAAAACAAGAAGAAAUCUCUUUCCUAACAAUUUUUCUUUCAGUUUUUUGUGAACCAUUUCUAGGUUCCCAUUGUCAUCAUUUUGAUUUGUGAUUGCCUCAAGAAUUGUUCUUGUCACGGUCAAAACAUGAAAAUGAUCAGAAACACAAACCCAUGCUUUGAUAUCAAAUUUUGCAUCUUCCAUCUUAGGAUCACUGUACACAUGCUGGGCUAGGGUGGUCUUACCCAACCCACCCAUGCCCACAAUGGAAAGUAUUGGUGGCUGGUUAGGAUUGUCAGUUUCAGAUGUGAGCCAAUUAAUGAUUAUAUCUGCCGUAAAUAACACUUUCAACCACCAAAGAAGAUGAUGGCAAUUUCUGUGGCACGUUACUACCUGAUCCAUCACCAGAAUAAGUACACUCCUUCAAACCAAGAGCACCCUUUUGGUUUGCAAGAUAUUCUAGUUUCUCCAGGACUUCUUUCAUCUCUGAUUCAAUUUUCUUGUUAAAUGAAGUGAAAGUAGAGUUGAAGAAAUUUGAUACCUUGUAAGUAAAGGUUUGAGGUUCGUAUUGAGCUUGGACUUGGCAUCUGGUGAGUUCAUAGUCUAUUUCACCCAACAGAUCCUCUGCAUCAAAGACAGCCUCUUUGACAGCAACAAGCCAUGCUUUGACGUGUGGAUCUGUGAACUGCUUUAGUUCAGCAUCAUCAGCUAGAGCGUUGAUGGAGUGCAGCAUGAUGUUCAAAUUACCGAGGAGCUUCUCAUCAAGUUUUCUUCCACGAAAGAAGUCCAGAAGUUGAGCAGAAGCGAGCUUGUCGAAUGAAACCUGAAGAAAGGCCGAAAGAAGAGCACCACCAACAAGUUCUGCUGCCAUGGUAGGAGUUGGGAAUGGAGUGAAUGGAAGUGUGUGAUUUGAAAUGGAUGAAGUGCAUAGAUUGCUAUAGUGAUGAAAUGAGUGGUUAGCUAUUUUACGAAGAAGAAUGAGUCACUUUAAGGAGAGUGGAACAUCUUUUUCUUUGAUGGCUACUCAACCAAUAACUUUUAAGUCUUUUUCCGAUAACGAACGCAAACUUUGUCAGCUUUGUUCCGCAAUAUAAAAUGGGAGCUGUUUGAUAUUCAUUUAACAGUUGUGGUGAAAGUUUGAGAUCCUGAUAUGGAGAGAGUGGGCUGUGGGCCCAAGUUAAGCAAUAACUAUUGAGUCUUUCUGAUAAGAAAAGUGUUCACAGUUGUAAUCCAUUAAUGGAUGUGUGACAAUAAAUAAUAUUCUGACUUGAAAAUAUAAAAAGCAAUAUCUUUUCUACAACCUUUCUUUAUUCACUUAAUUUAGUUUAAUAGUGAUUUUUAUCUCUUUAUUUAUAAUUUAUAAUUCAAUUUUAUUAUUACUAGACAUUUAUGACUUUUUUUUAAUCAGAAAAGGCCCUUUAAUGACUUUAAUGGCUUACAGAUCAAUACAAAUUCGGUAUUAAAUCUGGUGUUCUUAUAGUUGGAAGACUAUAUUUACCUUCCCUUUGGAAUUUUUUUCAUCUCUGAAGAUCCUACAAAUUACAGGGCUUUUGAUGGAAUAGUGAGCAUUGGUAAUGAAUUUUUUUAAGUUAUAGAAUUUUAUAGCCUCAGACUAAUACUAAUAUUGAACUAUUAUUAUAGUGUUGUAGUUGACAUUAAUAUCAUGAACUUCACUCACACACACAAGUAUAUUGUAAAACAUCUAUUGCUUCUUCCAUUAACAAAUACAAGGACCAUUUUAGGUGCAACAAAUACUCAAGCUUUACGCAGCUAAUCUACAUCGAGUGACUGCUACACAAAUUCUCCUCUCCUAAUUUCAUAAACAAAUGGAAAUCCAAGGAGGAAAAGAAAAAAAAUUAAAAGUUAUUUGCAAUGCUCACAACUUCAAUGCCACCUCCCAACUCAGGAAGAAAUCAAAUACAAUUCCAAGGUCUAAGAAUGUAUGUUUAGAAGCAUUUACAUUUCACAACUUCCUUUGCUUCAAUUUUUCUCUGAGGUGUAUUAGUUUUCCCUGGACCUGUUUAGGUAACUCAUCAUCUGAUGAUAACCCAAUUUCAAUCCCUUCUACUUGUUCUCUCUGUAUAAUAUCAUGGUACAUUGGUAGAAACCCUCUUUGGAAAGACCUAUAGGAGAAAUAGGGUAGCAGCACACACAAGAACAAAAGGGUUACUAGCCAAUACAUUACAAGAAAAUCACCAAAUAGAAACCAAUUUUUAGAAACCAAAAUAAUUAGUUGCAAUAAUAACUAAAUUAGACACCAUUUUAGAAACUAAAACAAAAAUUGGUUUCGAAAUUAGUUUAUAUUAUUUUCUAUUAUUGUUAAAUAGUUUCUAAAUUUGUAUCUAAUUAGCAACCAAUGUUUUAUCUACCAAUUAUUUAGUUUCAGUUUCGGACAUUUAAACACAUAAAGCUCUUGAAGACGUGGAAAAGAAGUAGUUUUACACUCCCAUUCUUCCCAUUCCUUCAUAUCGUAGAAUGCCAGUCUCUCUAAGGAUGCAAAGGAGGAGCAAUGCUCACUAUUCCAUCAAGCCGUCUAAUCUCAAGGGUCUUCAGUGAUGACAAAAGUCCAAGGGGAGGUAAACAUAGAGAGGCAAACAUAGACAGUAUUUACAGUGCUGCAACACUAAGCACACCAGAUUUGAUAACGAAUUAUCAAUACCCAACUUGGAAAUUUUGUACCACUGUAGUUCGUGAUUGACAAACUCUCCAACUGAUUGGAAGGUUGUAGAUUCUGAAGUACUUCCUUUUCUUUCCUUGGAUCAUCAGCGAUGUGGUCCGACUUCCAUUCUAAUUCUAGGUCUACAAGGUGUCUAUCUUUCAUAUUUGCUUCUAAUGCAUCCAAAGGAUUGGAAAUAUUCUGCACUUCUUUGAUUGAUAGCUUUCUUCCAUAAAGAUUGAGUCCUCCUAAUGCACCCAGUUGCUUAGUAAUUAGCUCACUAUUUCUAUCCACUAAAAUCGGAUUUAGUACUUGAAGAUUCUUCAAUUCUCCAAAAUGCAUUGGCAUCUUUGACACUCUUGUACCUUUAAAUUCUAGGCAACGCAAUUUGGUAAGUUUAUGCAAAUUUAUGGGCAAUUCCUCCAACUCGUAACAAUUGUUCAACUUCAGAAUUAGUAAGUUAUAAAGCAAACAUAUCGAGUCAGGUAGCUUUUUUAUCUUAGUACACCACGAAAGAUCACCUACAGAAUCUGGGACCUCUCUAAGGUAAAAACAACCACGGAAAGAUAACACGCGUAGAAAAGAUAACACGCGUAUAAACUUAAUUUUGGAAAACAAAUCAUGUAUCGAAAUCUUGAAAUGCCACCAAGCUCUCGUUUUUGAGAUAGAAAGAAAUGAACGAAGUCUUUUAGCAUCAGUCAAACUCUCAAAACCAUCAAAACUUUUGACGUCACUGAAUUCAAAUGAAAAAUGACGGGUUGUUUUCGGUAUACAUCGGCCUUUAUCAAAUUUCAACCUGAAACAGAAAUCCACACAUACAUAUUUUGCCAAAUCAUUCAGAAGGUCAUGCAUGACGAAACAUCUCCCACCACCUGAUUGUUGAAAGAAAGACCUUGACAGUAGAUCAUUGAAGUACUCUUCACCAACUUCUUCUGGAUGUCUAAUAUGUUGUGGACUUUGUAGAAAAUUUUGGGCCAUCCACACCAAAAUUAACUCCGCCUUCACAAACAGAUAAUCUUUGGGGAAUAAGGCACAAUAAGUAAAGCACCUUUUAAGAUGAGAAGGAAGAUAGCGAUAGCUCAAAAAUAACGCAGGGAUAAUUUCACUGUGUUCUUUUGGUAACUCCCAUAUGUCACUUUCCAAUAUGUUCUUCCAAUCUGAAAUGGAUGACUUUGUGCGUAAAGACAUCCAAUUGUUUUCAAAGCUAGAGGUAAUCCCUUGCACUUCUCAACUAUCCUUCUACCAACCUUCAUUAACUCAUCAUUCAAUUCAAGAUCACCAUCUUUUAAUGCAUGAUUUUCAAAAACUUUCCAGCAUUCAUCCUCUCCUAAUUGCUUUAGAAGAUGCACUUCAGACCUCAUGCUAGAAGCAACUUUCUCACCACGAGUUGUGACAAGAAUUCUACUUCCUGGAGCUCCACAACUAAGAGGAGUUCGCACAACUUCCCAUUCUGCUGGUCUUUCGUUCCAAACAUCAUCCAAAACAAGAAGAAAUUUCUUUCCUGACAAUUUUUCUUUCAGUUUUUUGUGAACCAUUUCUAGGUUCCCCCUGUCAUCUUUUUGAUUUGUGAUUGCCUCAAGAAUUGUUCUUGUCACGGUCAAAACAUGAAAAUGAUCAGAAACACAGACCCAUGCUUUGAUAUCAAAUUUUGCAUCCUCGAUCUUUGGGUCACUGUACACAUGUUGGGCGAGUGUAGUCUUACCCAAGCCACCCAUGCCCACAAUGGAAAGUAUUGAUGGGUGGUUAGGAUUGUCGAUUUCAGAUGUGAGCCAAUUAAUGAUUAUAUCUUUGUCAGCAUCUCUGCCGUAAAUAACACUUUCAACCACCAAAGAAGAUGAUGGCAAUUGAAGCGUUACUACCUGAUCCAUCAUCACCAGAAUAAGUACCCUCGUUCAAACGAAGAGCAUCCUUUUGUUUUGCAAGAUAUUCUAGUUUCUCCAUGACUUCUUUCAUCUUUGAUUCAAUUUUCUUGUUAAAUGAAGCGAAAGUAGAGUUGAAGAAAUUUGAUACCUUGUAAUUAAAGGUUUGAGAUUGGGAUUGAGCGUGGACUUGGCAUCUGGUGAAUUCAUAGUCUAUUUCACCCAACAGAUCCUCUGCAUCAAAGACAGCCUCUUUGACAGCAAGAAGCCAUGCUUUGACGUCUGGAUUUGUGAACUGCUUUAGUUCAGCAUCAUCAGCGAGAGCAUUGAUGGAAUGCAGCAUGAUGUUCAAAUUGGGGAGCAGUUUCUCAUCAAGUUUUCUUCCACGAAAGAAGUCUAGAAGUUGAGGAGAAGCGAGCCUGUGGAAUACAACCUGAAGAAAGGCGGAAAGAAGAGCACCACCAACAAGUUCAGCUGCCAUGGUAGGAAGGAGUUGGAAAUGAAGUGAAAUGGAUUGAGUGCAGGAAUGAAUGGUAUAGUGAUGAAUGAAAAGAGUAGUUAGAAAGGAUGACUUCACUUUAGAACAUGUUGUUCUUUUAUGGCAACUCAACCAAUAUAAAAUGUGAGCUGUUGGAUAUUCAUUCAACGGUUGUGAUGAAUGAAAGUAGGGCGGGAAGAGGAACGAACAAUGCAAUAAUGAUAAUAUCUGACUCGAAAUAAUAUCUUUUAUGUAACAAUUAAGCAGUAAUUGUUAACUGUUUCUGAUGUACUAAUUGGCAUCCUUUCGUUAUUCACUUAAUUUCGUUUAUGUCUUUCUUUUCUCUGUAUUUAUAAUUUUUUUAAUUUGGUUCAAUAGUAAUUUUUAUCUCUUUAUUUAUACUUUUAUUAUUUUUGAAAGGUCUCAAAUUAGUUUUACUUUUAUUUAAAAUUAGUCAGAAAAGAUAUUUUAAUAUUGUUUCAUUGACUAACUUUAAGUGGGACUUAACAUUGAUUUGGUAUUAUUGUAGUUUGUUGUUCUAUGUAUAAUAGUGUGCUUAAAAUACUAUGCAAACAAGACUAAUAGAAGUAUCACUCUUGACCACCCUCUUUUUUAGGUUUUUUUCCUUUAAUUCUUCUAAUUACAGAAUUUUAUAGCCUCCGACCCUGCAGUUAUAUUACAUUGAAGACAGAAAAUAAUUAUCUCUUUAAGCAUCAUCAACUUUAAGUCCUUUUGAAUAACAUGCUUUUGAAUAAUUAUCUCUGAAGGAAGGAGCAAAAAUGUCCUAGCUCAAUCUAGUGCUCAAGCUAAAAAAAUCUAUAAAUAUGAGACUUAUGAAUGAAUAGGGAGAUAUAUAAUUUUUAGUUUAAUAGUUUUGUUCUAUUUUCUUUCUUUCUAUUUGUAAAAGUAGUAUAUUAAGUGGAGACUUAUGAGUGUGUUGUACUACCUCCAGAUAUAAAAGGGAUGGUGUAAAACAAAGUGUGGAAAAAAGGUAAUUGAAAAUUAUAGGAUUAGUGUCUGAAACAAAGAAGAUUGUAAUCGAAAAGAUAGAGAGAUAUUGUGCAGAAUUAGCAGGUGUUGAAGUUGCAGACAAAGGAAAAUAAAAGAGUGUGAGAGUGGAGAGGUGACAGAUAGGUGAGACUCAGAUAUUGCAGAUAAUCCUUCACUCAUCAGUAUAUAGACUCAUGAGAUCAUUCAAUUCGUGCAAUGAUAUGCCAUAGAUAAAAUCAGUGUUUUUCAACUUAGAAUCUCUUAACCAUUAUGUUGAAAAGUUCCAAUAAAUGAGUACAAAUUUUCAUUAGGAUCCUCACAUUUAACCAUAGCCCUGAACUUUUGGAGAGAUUUUUCAUCAUGAAGAUGAGUUGUCACCUCCAAAGCAUGCUUUAAUUUCAGAUUAGUUUCUCCGUCAAGAUUCAUAGUCUCGACAUAAUUUUAUUUUAUUGUUUUGAAAGAUCUCAAAUUGGUUUUACUUUCAUUUAAAAAUUGACACAAUCUUUUUUUUUCUAAUAUUGUUUCAUUGACUAACUCUACAGUGGGACUUAAUACCGAUUUAGUAUUAUGUUUUCUGGUUGGUAGUAAUUAGGUAUUAAUUUGGCCAUAAAAUAUUUUGUAUUUGACAUAUGUAUUCAUGUGGAGGUUGAUAAUUUUUCAACCCAAGCUUGGAAACCAUCUACCGAAUAUGGAUUGAUCAAGGACCUUGGUGACAAUGUCAACAUGUUGCUCAGAACUCUUGAAAGGGAGAAGAUGAAAUAAUUCAGAUUGUAGUUUAUCUCUAAUGACGUGACACUCUAUUUCGAUAUGUUUAAUGUGUUUGAGAAAAAUAAGAUUUGAAGCAAUGUGUCGGACAACUUGAUUAUCGCAGAACAGAUGGGCAUUUUGUUGAAUAUUGAUCUGAAGAUCUUGCAGAAGAAAAAUGAGCUAUUGGAUUUCACUAUGCAGUGGUAGCAAGAGCUCGAUAUUCAGUUUCGGACGAAGAACGCAAAAUAGUACUUUGUUUUUUUUCCACAAAAUCAAGUAUUCUAGCUCUAGAAACGGAAAGAGCAAAAACAGAGAAAAGAUGAACAAUUUUAGGAGUUUUUUUUUGUAUUUCUAAUUUUAAUAUAUUAUUUAAAUAAAAAUAAUAAUUUUCUUAUCAGUUAGAUAUAAAAUGUUGCUUUUAAAAUGAAAAUAAUGUUAAUAUUUGAAUCUCAUGAUAGAAAUUUUGUAUUUGGUUUAUAUGUAAGAAAGUUAUGCUAUAUAUAAAGUGUAUGAUUAAAAAAUUAAUGAAACUCUUCCAUACGAUAGAUUUCUUCUUGUACAAAUAUAUUUUGUACUGUGCAUUCACAAUCACAUGCAUUUAGCAAAGUAAGAGGGAGUGAAAGAAAAUCUUUAUUGGUAAAAGACUCUAAAUCCACUCUUUGAAUAUACAAGAUUUGUAGAGAGGUGUUGGCUCCCAAUAAUCACUUUUUAUCUCCAACUAUACAAGACAAUACUUGGUGAACAAGAAAAUUUACACUUCUGUAACUUUGUUGUUGCUGUUCAGAGUCUUUAAACUUUUAGUGCAGAGCAAGAGUUUUUCUGUUGCAGGAGGAUCUCCAGAUUGUAGAGGAGAGGUAAUAAAGUAGUAAAAUAUAAUUAACUCUUAUUUUUGAAUGGGAAGAGAGAUUACAAGGAUGUGAAAUAAAACAGGAGAGACAUGGUUUUUUAUUGGAAGAAUCAGAUUUGUUUGAGAAUGAAAUAAAACAAAAGAAGAGAGCACACUCAGAAACUCUAACACUCACUUUCUCCAACAAUCUUGGCACAAGUUUGCUCUUCAUCCUCUGGAACUCAUAUCUAAGCUUGAGUAGGGAGAUGGAUGGUGUUUGGUACACGCCCUUGUACUUAUUUUCUCUGUAUAAUAAAUAUCAUGGUACACUGCUACAAACCAACUUUGGAAGACCUGUGGAAGAAAUAAGGUAGAAACAAAGCAUAAGCACAUUGUUCCAUUAACUUAAAAUUCAAGAAAGAAUGAAUGUAUCCAUCAUAAAUACAUCAGCAUACAAAUUUUAUAGAGCUUCAUGUUUAGAUUUUUCCCAUUAAAUUGCAGUGCUAAAGCUUCACAAUGUUAAUUGCUUUCGCAGCAAGCUGCAUAUUUAGAUAACAAAUGUGUUGAGCCAUAUUGAUUAAAGGAGAUUCUGCAAUGGGGUUGGACAUUCUGAAUUGAGUAUGGUGAGUGAGUGAUGUAGUUGAUGAAUGAUAAAGCACAUGUCUCUGCCAUUAAUGUAUAUUCUAAUUCCUACUUUCAGAACCUCUACCAUAUCAUGGAAAAUGUUCGACACAGGGAGGUCUGGCUAAAGAAAAUUUCAAGGCUCAUCAGUUUAUUGUAAUUAACACAUGCCUGCUGAGCUAUACAAUCUUAAACAUACGCCUUUUAAAUUCCAAUUACAGGUUCCUUAGAUACAGAGUGUCCCUUAUGCCCACUGCAGUUUCCAUUCAUGUUUCUAAAUUGCUUCUGAAAUUAACAUUUUAUAUAGAGGAAAUAUUCUUUAAUUCAGACAGAAGCAAUUUUAAUAAUUAAUAAAAUUUUGUACCUUCAGACAAAGUUUUGCAGAAACAACUUGAUAGAAGAUGUCUAGAGCGAUUAGUUGAAGUGAAGAAGGCUUUGUGUGGGUUUGGCACUGAAAUGGAUGGAUGUGUGGCCUUGCACAUUGGACCCUUUUUUAAGAAAAUUUCAAGGCUCAUCAGUUUAUUCUAAUUAAUUACCAAAUGAGGUAUAGAAUCUUACACCAUUUGACAUUAAGUCAAGUUGCCUAAGAGAUAUAUAAAUCAUACUCCAAGAAUUGAUACCAGUGAUAUGGAACUUUUCCCCACAUCCCAUCAAAGCCUGAUAGCAUGUCACCUAUUCCACAGCACCAGAACCAAACUCACUCUAUAUCUAUAAAACAAAAAGCUGAAUUUCAGUGUUGGAAUAUUUGUUAAUUAUCUGACAAAGACUACAAUCAUAUUGCCAAAGUAUCGUAUAAAAGAUGCUUUAAAUUAGUAAAUAAAGUUAAGAUAUUUCUAAUCCCAGGUAUUUAUAUUAUUUAGUUGAAGUCAUGCAUUAAAUGAACUAACUAGCAGUGUAUGAAUCAAAUAAUUUAGAAAAUAUCAAGUUGAGUUUUAUCUUACUGAGGGCUAAAUAUGAUUUUUUUUUCUAAUGGUAGGAAUUGAACACAAGUAGCAGAAGGUUUUCAAUAACUCACACUACUGAACCAAUUGAGUAUAAAGUUGUUUUUCUAAUGGGCAGUAGUGUUACAUUUAUUUGCAAUGCUCACAACUUCAAUGCCACCUCCCAACUCAGGAAGAAAUCAAAUACAAUUCCAAGGUCUAAGAAUGUAUGUUUAGAAGCAUUUACAUUUCACAACUCCCUUUGCUUCAAUCUUUCUCUGAGGUGUAUUAGUUUUCCCUGGACCUGUUUAGGUAACUCAUCAUCUGAUGAUAACCUAAUUUCAAUCCCUUCUACUUGUUCUCUCUGUAUAAUAUCAUGGUACAUUGGUAGAAACCCUCUUUGGAAAGACCUAUAGGAGAAAUAGGGUAGCAGCACACACAAGAACAAAAGGGUUACUAGCCAAUAUAGACCACUGGGAGCACAUGCUUCCACUGGGAGCACAUGCUUCCACUGGGAGCACAUGUAUCCAGAUUUGGUUGGAAUUUAAUUUCAUCAGAACAAUGAAAUAAUUUUGCACGAAAAUAAGAAUAAAAUAAAAGUAAUUGAUUCAUGAAAAACUUAGUUGAGCCUUCUUUAAUAAAUAUCAUCACAUCAGUUUAAAUAUAACAUGUGCUACUCUCACUACAAAAAAAAAAAUUUAGUGGGGUUAUUUUUUUCCUUUCCGACGGUUUUAACCCCCGUAAAUUGCAUUACUCGCAGUUUACUAUGUCCCUAGAAUAUCCAGCGUCGAUAAUGAAUUAUUGACGAUUUUUACGAAUCCUGAAAAAUAAUUACUUUCUGGUGGUUUUGAAACUCCGUUAUUUCCCGACGGUUUAGAAACUCCCGUAAUUUUCGACGGUUUUGAAACCUCUGUAAUUCCUGGCGAUUUCGAAACCCUCUUAUUUUCCAACUGUUUUGAAACUCCUGUAAUUCCCAGCGGUUUCGAAGCCCUGUUAUUCUCGAUAGUUCCUGGCAAUUUUGAAACCUUCGUUACUUCUAGGAGGUGCACAUAAAAAAAUAGGUGACGAAUAAUAAAAAUGUUGAAUCAAAAUAGUCUAAUGGUCUUCUGAGAUCUUGUGUUCUUCUUCUACCACCUAACAAUAAUACACUACGGUCUUUCAACUCUUUUUAUUUACUUUCCAAUGUUUCGUAAUACUGUAUUAUAAUUUUUUCAUAAUGAAAAUAUAGACACUGAAUUAUUAAUGUAAAAAAAUUGUGUAAUAUAUGAUUAACAUGAUUUCGUAUUAAUACCAAAUAAAAUAUAAGAAAUACAUAUUACUUACUAAUUCAUUAAUCUUAUUCAUUAAGAUUCAUCUAAUAACCGGUAUUAAAAGGUGUUAGAAUAAUAAACAUAAAGGUUUAUUAUUCUUAUUAACAAAUUGUUUUGGAACAACAUCCUAAAGACAAUUUGACUUCACUUUCAUUUUUGAGGUGGAUAGUAAUUAGAUAUGAAAUUUGGAUGAAAUUUUGAUAUGCGAUCUUGGAAGAAUAGUGGUGGUUGUUAGCUACAAUUUAAGAUUAUCUUCUAAGUUAUUGAAUAAUGUUAUCUUUUAACAUUAUUUGAAUAUUGCUGUGGUGUCUUCAAUGUGUAAUAGUGUGAUUAAAAUACUAUAUAUGCAAACAAGUUUUUGUUUGCUUUAGUAAUUAAUUAUAUAGUUUCGUGAUUUUAGGGUAUUUUGUAAUAUUGAUAACUUUGUUUGAGUUUAUUAAAAAAAAUUACUCAUCUUAUAAUGUCUACGUUUUUUUUGUUAAUGAUCCGAUUUGUUUCUUAAUGUAUGUUGUUGGAUUUUAUUUUAUAAUAUUUAUACUUUGAUUAUGAAUUUCCAGGGUAGCUUAAUUAGUUACUGUUUGUAACGUAUGAGGUUUUUUUCUAGAACUUGUGUAUAUAGGGACAGAAUGAAAUAAGAUGGUGGGAUACUUAAAGGUCUUAUAAAGCUGGAUAUUUAUUCUUAAAUAAAUAGGAUAUGUUUUUGGUAGUGGAAAUAUAGUGUUCUAUUUAUGGCGAUAUUAAAGAUAUAAAAAGAUUUUACCAGCACCUUAAAACAUUUUGCAUUUUGACAAAUUUUUGGAAGAAGUUACUAUAAAAAUGUUGAAGAAUAUUUUUAAAAGUUUGGCAUAAUCGCCUUGGUCAUCCUACUAUAAUACUGUGACCACUAGAAUAAUGAAACUGUGCAAAGUUCCAUGUAUUAAAAGCUCUAUUUUUUUUUUAAGAUGAUUGUUUCUAAAUAUCAUCAAUUGCUUUUUCAUAAUUAUGAAAUUAUUUAUUUUUGUCAUUUUGAGUUUGUUUUUGUUGAUAUAUGGAGUUUUUUUUCCAUACAAUUAGUCUAAUGGAUCUCGGUAUUACUCAAUUUUUUUUAAAGUGGUUUAAAUUCAUAUCGUCUAAGUAUUAGGUUCUCUUUGUUUUUUUUGGUUUUAAACUUUUUGCUAAUAACAAACUGAUUACACUUUAAAAAGCUUACAAACAGAUUAUGUUAAAGAAUUUCUUGCUCUUGCAUCAUAACUAAAUAAUAACAGAAUACAUCAUAGGUUAAUCUGCCCUCACAUACAUUAGAAAAAUGAAAGAAAACAUAUACAUAUUAUUGAGAUAGGUUUAGCUUUGCUAUCUAGUGCCUCUCUACCCUUCAAGUUUUCGGCAGUCAAUGGCGGUGGCAGUAAAGUUCAAUGGUGCAAGGUGGUGGUCAAUGGAGAAAAGGGAAGGAAAAAAAGUUUGCAGCAAUUAAAGCUGCAAAAAAAAAAGAAUUGUAACAAUGAAGGCUGUUCAGAAAAAUAAUUGCAGCAAUGAAGGAUGUCCAGAAAAAUAACUUCAACAAUGAAGGAUGCUAAAAAAAAGAUUGCAGAAACAUAGUCUCCAAGAUCAGGAGCUCUGAUACCAAGUUGAAAGAAAUAAAUAAAAUAUAUUUUUUGAGAUAAUUUACAAAUGUGAUUACAGUCUCAAUUUAUAAAAUUACAACCUAAUUAAGGAAACAACUAUUAGGAAAUGAAAGCAAGAAAUAAUAUGUGAUUACAUCUGUACAAAUCAAAUCAAAAUAAAUCACUAACAAAAUUAUCCUAAUAAAUAGAGAAUGAAAUCUACACUUAAUUAGAGAAUAAUUCUCCUGAUUACGCAAUACAGAUGGAAACAAAAGAAAUAAAAAAUAGAAGUUACAUGAAAUGCUCACAAACAACUUGAAUGCUAUUUCCUACCUCACUAAGAAAGCAUGUACAAUUUCAAGUUCUAAGAAUGGAUGCUUAGAAGCAUUUACAUUUCACAACUCCCAUUGCUUCAAUCUCUCUAUCAGAUGUAGUUUUCCCUGGACUUGUUUAGGUAACUCAUCCUCUCAUAAUCCAACUUCAAACCCUUGUACUUGUUUUCUCUUCAUCAUAUCUUGACACAUGGGUAGAACAGACUUUGGAAAGACUUAUAAUAUCACACUCCACACAACACACUGUGACCAUAAGUAUUUCAAAAACAGCCACCUUACUCUCUCUUCUCAAGGCUUGAUUCAAGACAAAAACAGUGGUCAAGAGUAAGAUCUCUAAAGAGGGUCUCUUCUACUCCCUCCAGAUAUAGAAAAGGAUNNNNNNNNNNNNNNNNNNNNNNNNNNNNNNNNNNNNNNNNNNNNNNNNNNNNNNNNNNNNNNNNNNNNNNNNNNNNNNNNNNNNNNNNNNNNNNNNNNNNUGUCUUCCAAUAAAAUCAUUAAUUUAAAAUCAAAACCUAACAAAAGACAAGUCAACACUUCAUCGAUACAUUAGCAUUGGAUUUGAGAUUGGAUUUGAGAUUAAACUUCUGCACUUCACAAUUUUUAGUGUCCACAUCCACUUUCUGAAUAUUCAAGUCACAACCAUCGAUCACUAUUUCACAACUGAGUAAGUCCAAAAGCAGAAGGCAUGUCACCAGAACCAAACUCACUUUAUAUCUAUAAAAGAAAAGGCUGAAUUUCAAUGUUGAAAUAUUUGUUAAUUAUAUGAGAAACACUACAAUCAUAUUGCCAAAGUAUCGUAUAAAAGAUGCUUUAAAUUAGUAAUUAAAAUUAAGAUAUUUCUAAUCCCAGGUAUUUAUAUUAUUUAGUUGAACUCAUGCAUUAAAUGAACUAACUAGCAGUGUAUGAAUGAAAUAAUUUAUAAAAUAUCUCAAGUUGUGUUUUAUCUUACUGAGGGCUAAAUGUGAUUUUCUUUCUAAUGGUAGGAAUUGAACACAAGUAGCAGAAGGUUUUCAAUAACUCACACUACUGAACCAAUUGAGUAUAAAGUUGUUUUUCUAAUGGGCAGUAGUGUUACAUUUAUUUGCUUCUCUUUUUUCAAGAUAUUGAAUCUUAGUACUCUUGAAUACAAACAGAAAACUAUGAGAUCAGUCUCAGCAGGAAAAAGUUGAAAAUAUGAAUUUGAGUCUCAAGAUCAGAAUAUUAAGGAAACUAAAAUUGGACCAUUACAAGGUUGUGUGGCCUUACACAUUAGACACUGUUUUAGAAAUAUUACUGAAAUUUUCUCAGUUUAGGUUCAUUAUGCAUAGCAGUUUGGUUGUCACCAAACAACUCAUAUUCUAAACAAUAUUCAAGCUAUUUCUACUACUAUUUUUUCUGUAAAAGUGAGUCUUGAUUGAACACCAUAAGACUUCUUUAAUGGUUUUAAUGUUUAAAAAUCUUGAUGGAAUAUCACAAGAGCUUUUUAAUAAAGUAAAAAGUGGUUUAAAAAUACUUUUAAAUUCCAAUUACAAGUUCCUUAGAUCCCUUAUGUCCACUGCAGUUUCCAUUCAUCUUUCCUCCACUAAAAACCCAUAACUUCAUUUUGAGGAUCAUUUAGUUCCAGUGAUCUAUUAUUAAGUUUAAGUUCAUUUUUUUGUCAGAAACUGUAGUAACAUGAAAUAAGAACACAGAAUACUCUGUUCGGAAUGGAUGCCAAAUGCCAAACCACCUUCACGAUUUUCGUAGUAUUCUAAAAUUAGGAAAAACAUUCGGUUGGAAUUUAAUUUCAACAGAAAAAUUGAAAUAAAAAAUAAGAGUAAAAUAAAAGUAAUUGAUUCAUGAAAAACGUAGUUGAGUUCAAGUAUAUCAUGUGCUGCUCUUGUUUGAAAAAUGGCAAUUAUAGGGUUACCGUUUGCAACUAAGAAAAUGGUAAUCGAAAAGGUACAAAGAUAUUGUGGAGAAUUCGAACCGGUUGAAGUGCCAGACAAAUUCAAAUAUAAUCAUCGCACAUACAGAUCUUGGAUGUGAGCAAUCUUUUCCCAGUCUUCUCCAUCUGGACUCUGACAACGCUCCUUCAGCAAUGGACAACCAAUGAUUGAGAGAGAAGAGAUGGAUUUGGGGAGACCCUCCGCUGGUAAGCAUUCAAGGCUGGGACAAUCACGAAUUAUGAGAGAGGAGAGGUGGUAGAGACCCUUGUAGUGCAUCUUUUUAAGAUUUCGGCAAUAUUGGAUUCGUAGAAAGGUGAGAGAGCGUGGCAGCAAAACUUCAUCGGGAAAACACUCCACCUCCAAGUGUUCAAUAUUCAAGGUUUGAAGAGAUGUGUUGGGAUCCAAGUUGUCUCUCAAGGAGGCGAUAAGUUUUAAACAUGAAAGACACAUUCUUUUUAUAUUUAAUGGCAAACCUCCAUCUGGGAACAACUCCACUUGUGGACAAUAUUCAAUACAUAGAGACAUGAGAUGAUUAUGAGCGUACUCCUGUGAAAUUCUUCUUAGGUUUUGGCACUUUAUCAGUGUAAGUUCAUGGAGCUUUGGAAAGAAAUCUAGCCGAAAGAUUGAAAGAGAGUCCAUACUGUUUCCGCUAAUUCUGAGCUCAUCACUAACAACUACUUUCGUACCUUUCAGUUUCGGACAUUUAAACACAAGAAGCUGUCGAAGACGUGGAAAAGAAGUAGUUUUACACUCCCAUUCUUCCCAUUCCUUCAUAUUGAGGAACUGCAACAUCUCCAAGGAUGCAAACGAAGAGUUACUCCCAUAAAAUUCAUCACCAACGCUCACUAUUCCAUCAAACCCUGUAAUAUGGAGGGUCUUCAGUGAUGACAAAAGUCCAAGGGGAGGCAAACAUAGGCAAUAUUUACAAUCCUCCAACUUUAAGAACACCAGAUUUGAUAACGAAUUAUCGAAUACCCAACUUGGGAAUUCUGUACCACUGUAGUUCCAGAUUGACAAAUUCUCCAAGUGAUUGGAAGGUUGUAGAUUCUGAAGUACUUCCGUUUCUUUCCUUGGAUCAUCAGGGAUGUGGUUCGACUUCCAAUCUAAUUCUAGCUCCACAAGGUGUUUAUCUUUCACAUUUGCUUCUAAUGCGUCCAAAGGAUUCAAAAUAUUCUGCACGUCAUUGAUUGAUAGCCUUCCAUGAAGAUUGAGUCCUCCCAACCCGCCCAGUUGUUUAGUACUAACCUCACUAUUUCUAUCGACGAUAAACUUAUCCAAUUCUUGAAGAUUCUUCAAUUCUCCAAAAUGCAUUGGCAUCUUUCUCACUUUUGUACCUUCAAAUUCCAGGCAACGCAAUCUGGUAAGUUUAUGCAAAUUUAAGGGAAACUCCUCCAACUUUGAACAAAAUUUCAACUUCAGUAUUAGUAAGUUAUAGAGCAAACAUAUCGAGUCAGGUAGCUUUUGUAUCCCAGUACGCGAAAGAUCUAACGAAUGGAGAUGUUUAAGAUCAUCUACAGAAUCUGGAACCUCUCUAAGGUCUGAACAACCACUGAAAGAUAACACGCGUAUAAACUUAAUCUUGGAAAACAAAUCAUGUAUGGAAAUUUUGAAAUGCCAUUGAGGUUUCCCAAAUUGUUGGAUAGGCAGAAAUGAACGAAGUCUUUUAGCAUCAGCUAAACUCCCUAAACCAUCAAAACUUUUGACAUCAUGGAAUUCAAAUGAAAAAUGACGGGUUGUUUUCGGUAUACAUCGGCCUUUAUCAAAUUUCAACCUUAAACAGAAAUCCCCACAAACAUAUUUUGCCAAAUCAUUCAGAAGGUCAUGCAUGACGAAACACAACCCGGAAUCUGAAUGUUGAAAAAAAGACCUUGACAGAAGAUCAUUGAAGUACUCUUCACCAACUUCUUCUAGAUGUCUCAUCUGUUGCGGACUCUGUAGAAAAUUUUGGGCCAUCCACAUCAAAAUUAACUCCUUCUUCACAAACUCAUAAUCUUUGGGGAAUAAGGCACAAUAAGCAAAGCACCUUUUAAGAUGAGAAGGGAGAUAACGAUAGCUAAAAAAUAACGCAGGAAUAAUUUCACUGUGUUCUUUUGGUAACUCCCAUAUGUCACUUUCCAAUAUGUUCUUCCAAUCUGAAAUGGAUGACUUUGUGCGUAAAAGACAUCCAAUUGUUUUCAGAGCUAGAGGUAAACCCUUGCACUUCUCAAGUAUCCUUCUACCAACCUUCAUUAACUCAUCAUUCAAAUCAAGAUCACCAUCUUCUAAUGCAUGAUUUUCAAAAACUUUCCAGCAUUCAUCCUCUCCUAAUUGCUUUAGAAGAUGCACUUCAGACCUCAUGCUAGAAGCAACUUUCUCACCACGAGUUGUGACAAGAAUUCUACUUCUUGGAGCCCCAUAGCUAAGAGGAGUUCGCACGGCUUCCCAUUCUGCUGGUCUUUCGUUCCAAACAUCAUCCAAAACAAGAAGAAAUUUCUUUCCUGACAAUUUUUCUUUCAGUUUUUUGUGAACCAUUUCUAGGUUCCCACUGUCAUCUUUUUGAUUUGUGAUUGCCUCAAGAAUUGUUCUUGUCACGGUCAAAACAUGAAAAUGAUCAGAAACACAGACCCAUGCUUUGAUAUCAAAUUUUGCAUCUUCCAUCUUUGGGUCAUUGUACACAUGUUGGGCGAGUGUGGUCUUACCCAACCCACCCAUUCCCACAAUAGAAAGUAUUGAUGACUGGUUAGAUUGUCGGUUUCAGAUGUGAGCCAAUUAAUGAUUAUAUCUUUGUCAGCAUCUCUACCGUAAAUAACACUUUCAACCACCAAAGAAGAUGAUGGCAAUUUCUGUGACACUCUACUGCCUGAUCUAUCAUUAUCAUCAGAAUAAGUACCCUUUUUCAAACCAAGAGCAUCCUUUUGGUUUGCAAGAUAUUCUAGUCUCCGCAGGACUUCUUUCAUCUCUGAUUCAAUUUUCUUGUUAAAUGAAGUAGAGUUGAAGAAAUUUGAUACCUUGGAAGUAAAGGUUUGAGGUUGGGAUUGAGCUUGGACUUGGCAUCUGGUGAGUUCAUAGUCUAUUUCACCCAACAGAUCCUCUGCAUCAAAGACAGCCUCUUUGACAGCAACAAGCCAUGCUUUGACGUGUGGAUCUGUGAGCUGCUUUAGUUCAGCAUCAUCAGCGAGGGCAUUGAUGGAGUGCAGCAUGAUUUUCAAAUUGCGGAGGAGCUUCUCAUCAAGUUUUCUUCCACGAAAGAAGUCUACAAUUUGAGGAGAAGCGAGCCUAUCGAAUGCAACCUGAAGAAAGGCGUUGGAAAUGAAGUGAAAUGGAUUGAGUGGAGGAAUGAAUGGUUCAAUUAGUGGAAAGAAGAUACCCUUAAAUAGCGAUCACUUAAAUAAUUAUUUAACAGUUUUUUUAUGUAUUUCAAGUUAAAUAGAAAAACAUUCUUAUCAUUUGGAAAUUCUUCCGUGAUAUGUCUCAGCUUCUUUGUGAAAUACUGAGGCAAUAAAUAUUAAGAGCAAUUUGGUUAUCACAAGCAAGGGUCUUCUUUCAUUAAUAUCUACUGUGCUGAAUUUCAAACAAUCACCUCUGAACUGAUAUUCUCUGUUUUCUUAAUUGCCAGAUUUUUUAAAUAUUUAUAAUUUCACUUUUAUAUUGUUUACAAAAUUUNNNNNNNNNNNNNNNNNNNNNNNNNNNNNNNNNNNNNNNNNNNNNNNNNNNNNNNNNNNNNNNNNNNNNNNNNNNNNNNNNNNNNNNNNNNNNNNNNNNNACUUUUGUAGCUUGUAUCUUUACUUUUCAUCUAAUCUUUAAUUAAUUUAUAUAAAUGUAUUUAUCAUAUUGACUUAAAUAUUUUAGUUCCAGAAGCGAGGUCAUUUGUCUAUUAAUUAGGUAGCAAUACAAUUUUUUAAACAAUGUAAACAGACUUUUAACAGAAAUCAAUGUUUAGUUGUAGAUCAAUCAUAACAAAAGACUCAUUCCUUCUAAGAGUUAUUGGAAAUUUGAGGAUCCAUGGUGGAAGAGAAUAGCGCCACAAAGUAUCAUCUCACAGUUCAACAAUGAGUUGAAAUUGUGAAUUGCAUGAGUUGAUUUCUCUAAUCUAAGAGUCCAAGAGGUGACAGUUUGAAUAUACAAGAUUUCUAGAAAGGUGUUGGCUCCCAAGAAUACCUUUUUAUCUCCUUCUAUACAGGACCAAACAUAACUUCACACUUUUGUUAGUUGCUGUUCUGAGUCUUUACACUUGUAUGCACAAUUUUUCUGUUGCAGGAGAAUCUUCAGAUUGUGGACUAAGGAGAGGUAAUAAAACAGCAAAACAUACUUAAUUAUCACUUUAUUAGAUUUCAAAUAAAACAGGAGAGACAUGAUUUUUUUUCCAAAGAAUCAGAAUUGAUUGAGAAUGGAUACUUAAUGAGAUGCAAUCUAUUCAAUUUUGUUGAAGAUUGAAGAGUGAUUUCUUAAAUACCUGUUUUACUGUCUCGACCGAAAGGUCAACUGAAAGUCUCGACCGACCGAAAGGUUGUACGGCCGAAAGGUCAACCAAAAGUCUCGACGCCGAAAGGUCAACUGAAAGUCUCGACCGACCGAACGGUUGUGCGACCGAAAGGUCAACCGAAAGUCUCGACCGACCGAAAGGUUGUGCGUAAAAUUAAAUUAGUGAUUAUAGCAAAGCCCAUAAGAUGGGCCCAAAUAUACAGGUGUGUGUUUUCAAAAUGUUAGGUGCAAAAAGAAAAGACCUAAGUAACUCUUAAGCCCAAUAAGAGAGUCUUAUAAAUAGAGGUUCAACUCAAAAGGUAAGGAGAAUUUCAAUUGAUCUGAUAAGCAAAAAACUAUAUCUGACUUUGGCAUCGGAGCGCCUUGCAGGUACACACNNNNNNNNNNNNNNNNNNNNNNNNNNNNNNNNNNNNNNNNNNNNNNNNNNNNNNNNNNNNNNNNNNNNNNNNNNNNNNNNNNNNNNNNNNNNNNNNNNNNNNNNNNNNNNNNNNNNNNNNNNNNNNNNNNNNNNNNNNNNNNNNNNNNNNNNNNNNNNNNNNNNNNNNNNNNNNNNNNNNNNNNNNNNNNNNNNNNNNNNNNNNNNNNNNNNNNNNNNNNNNNNNNNNNNNNNNNNNCCCAAUGUGAGAAGAGACCGAGAGAGUCCAGCCCAAAGUUCGGAAGAUUUGUAUAAGAGUUAAUCUUGUCAACCUAAUUUUAGUGUUCUUGGUCCUUGUUGUAAGAACAUUUUGGCGCCCACCGUGAGGCCGAGAAGUAGCUGAAAAAGGUUGAAGACAAGAUGAAUCAAAUGAGAAGAACAAGGUGGAGAGCAAUCUGGGGAGCAGAGAGAUAAUCAAAAUUCCAUAUCAAUGGCUAUGCUCAUGCAGUUACAAAGAAAGUUCGAAACACUAAAGAGAAGCAAUGAAGAAAAGUUAAGUAUGUUAAGGGCGGAGAAUGCGUACAUAAAAGGAGUUAGAAUGAAGAGACGNNNNNNNNNNNNNNNNNNNNNNNNNNNNNNNNNNNNNNNNNNNNNNNNNNNNNNNNNNNNNNNNNNNNNNNNNNNNNNNNNNNNNNNNNNNNNNNNNNNNNNNNNNNNNNNNNNNNNNNNNNNNNNNNNNNNNNNNNNNNNNNNNNNNNNNNNNNNNNNNNNNNNNNNNNNNNNNNNNNNNNNNNNNNNNNNNNNNNNNNNNNNNNNNNNNNNNNNNNNNNNNNNNNNNNNNNNNNNNNNNNNNNNNNNNNNNNNNNNNNNNNNNNNNNNNNNNNNNNNNNNNNNNNNNNNNNNNNNNNNNNNNNNAACAACUUUGAAGGGAGGGGCUGAGUUGGCAUACUCGGUUGCCACCGUUAUCCAUUGAUUGUUUCAACACUUUAGUAAAAAAGUUUGUAGCUCAUUUUGCUACAAGCCGACCACAUCAUCUGACAUCAAUUGCCUUAGUGAAUAUAAGGUAAGAAAAGGGAGAAUCCCUAAGAACAUUUAUGCAGUGCUUUGGAAAGGUAGCACUAAGUAUCCGCAAUCUCAGUCCGAAAGUCACAAUGCAUCAUAUGAUUACAGCACUGAAACCGAGACCAUGUGCCGACAGUCUUUGCAAAAAACCGGCAACCAAUCUUGACGAGUUAUCAUCGCAAGUGCCGGCCGAACGCUCACCAAACUUGCUUGAUUAACAUCGCAAGUAUUGGCCGAACGAUUGCCCGCUUGCUCGAUUAACAUCGCAGGUGCCGGCCGAACGCUCACAAACUUGCUUGAGUAACAUCGCAAGUAUUGGCCGAAUGAUUGCCCGCUUGCUCGAUUAACAUCGCAAGUGCCGGCCGAACGAUCACCAAACUUGCUUGAGUAACAUCGCAAGUGUUGGCCGAACGAUUGCCCGCUUGCUCGAUUAACAUCGCAAGUGCCGGCCGAACGCUCACCAAACUUGCUCGAUUAUCAUCGCAAGUACCGGCCGCUCACUACUCUUUGAUAGAGAUGGAAUUGAAAGAUACCACAAGAAUCAUNNNNNNNNNNNNNNNNNNNNNNNNNNNNNNNNNNNNNNNNNNNNNNNNNNNNNNNNNNNNNNNNNNNNNNNNNNNNNNNNNNNNNNNNNNNNNNNNNNNNGCUACAUAUGGAAUGCAUCCGUUUGGUAAUAUGAGUACAAAUCACAGUUCAUGGCCUGUUAUAUUGGUUAUUUACAACUACCUUCCUGGAUUGUGCAUGAAGCGAAAAUACAUGAUGUUGUCUAUGAUGAUAUCCGGUCCGAAACAGCCAGGAAAUGACAUAGAUGUUUAUCUUAGUCCCCUAAUCAAAGAUUUGAAGUUAAUGUGGGAUCAGAGUGUUGAAGUAUUUGACGGAUUUGCUAAUGAAACUUUCAGGCUGCAUGCCAUGUUAUUUUACACCAUCAAUGAUUUUCCGGCAUAUGGUAACUUAUCAGGUUAUAGUGUUAAGGGUCAUAAAGCAUGUCCAAUAUGCGAAGAAUACACUGCUUCUCAACAAUUGAAACAUGGAAGGAAGACAGUAUAUCUUCGACAUCGGAGAUUUCUUAGAAGUCAUCAUCCUUACCGGAGGUUGAAAAAAGCCUUUAAUGGUCACCAAGAGACUAGUGGUCCACCAACUCCACUAACUGGUCUUGAGGUUUACGAAAUGGUAAAUAACAUAGACCACACCUCCGGUAAGUAAAAAAAAAGUCAUCUGUGACAAACAUUUGGAAGAAAAAAUCAAUCUUUUUUUAUCUUCCGUACUGGUCGAGGUUAGAGGUCAAACAAUGUAUAGAUGUAAUGCAUGUUGAGAAGAAUGUGUGUGAUAGUUCAAUUGGUACACUUCUUAACAUUAACGGGAGGACGAAGGAUGGUUUAAAUGCUCGUUUAGAUUUGAUUGAGAUGAACAUACGAAGCGAGUUGGCACCGAUACAAAUGGGUAAGCGUACAUAUUUGCCCCCAGCCUGUUACACCAUGUCAAAAGAUGAAAAAGUAAGUUUCUGUCAAUGUCUAAAGGGUGUAAAAGUGCCACAAGGACAUUCAUCAAAUGUGAAGAGCCUAGUGUCAAUGCAAGAUUUGAAGUUAAUUGGGUUGAAGUCUCAUGAUUGCCACAUCUUGAUGCAACAACUUCUGCCUGUAGCUAUUCGUGGGAUCUUACCAAAAAAUGUUAGACAUACCAUAACCCGUUUGUACUCAUUCUUCUCUUCCAUCUGUUGUAAAGUCAUUGAUCUAUUAAAACUGAAUGAACUUCAAGAUGAAAUUAUUGUUAUCUUAUGUGAAUUGGAGAUGUUUUUUCCUCCAUCUUUUUUUGAUAUCAUGGUUCAUCUAGUUGUGCAUCUGGUUAGAGAGGUUAGAUGGUGUGGACCAGUAUACUUAAGAUGGAUGUAUCCUGUUUAGCGGUAUAUGAAAAUUUUGAAAGGUUAUCUGAAAAAUCAUUAUCGUCCAGAAGCUUCAAUGAUUGAAAGGUACAUAGCUGAAGAAAGUAUUGAAUUUUGUUCAGAGUACAUGUCAAAAGCAAAUCCAAUAGGUCUUCCUGCUAAUUCAUGGCACCAUAGGCGUUCUACAAGUAAAUGUUUACGUGGUGUGAAUAUUGUAAGAAAAUCUCGGUCAGAAGUAUUGCAAGCACAUUUGUAUAUAUUGAAUAACACAAAUGAAGUUAUACCUUACAUAGAAGCUCAUAAAGCCAUUGUGAAGGCAAAUAAUCCAAGACAAGCAGAGAAAUGGGUCUUGAUGGAACAUAAUAGAACAUUCAUGCCUUGGUUUAAAGAGGAGGUGUUAAAGGAUUCAACUGCAUCGGAGACCUUGACCUGGUUGGCUGCUGGAUUGAAGUUUGAUGUCGUUUCUUGUAAAGCAUACGAAGUGAAUAAUUGUAUAUUUUACAUGAAGUCUUUGGAUGAAAAGAGUACAGUUCAAAAUUCUGGUGUUACUCUUGAAGCCGAGUCAAUGCAGUUUUCCACUUCAAAAGAUUCAAAUCCUAUACUUGGAUCAAUGGCAUACUAUGGAUUUAUAGAAGAGAUAUGGGAGGUUGACUACACUAAGUUUUCGGUUCCAGUUUUCAAGUGUAAAUGGGUUGACAAUAAAAGUGGGGUUAAAAUUGAUGAAUCAAGAUUCACAUUAGUGGACUUUCAAAAGAUAGGGUAUCGAGAUGAGCCAUUUAUAAUGGUUCAACAAGCAUCUCAAGUUUUCUAUGUCAAAGAUCCUACGUCAGAACAUUGGUAUGUCGUUUUACACGAGAAAAAACAAGGGGAGGCCAUAGAUGAUAUUGAAAAUGGUGACCCCCGUUCAUUCACACCAAUGAUAAUUAAUAAAGAUGAUGAUGUACUUGAUGAUGUACAUGCAACCCGUAAAGACCACAGUGAAGGAAUUUACAUAUGAACAUUCAACCCAUUAUGGUAAUAAAUUUAUAAAUAUUUUUGAUAAUAUGUAUUUAGAAUAUUAUGUUUUUGUUUUAUAUGAUUUUCUUUCGAUGCAGGUUAACUAACGUUUGUUAACUAUGUUUUUUAACAGAGAUAUGGAUGAGAAUCAGAGUCCAAAGAAACCCCAAUCCAAACGAGGCAGCGGAGGACCUACUAGAAUGAAACGUCUGGCAAAGAGACGUGCUGCUGGUAAGAAGACAGCUGUUGACAUUGACGUCAACACUGGAAUGGAUUCUGGUCCUAAUGCAGAAGACUUUCAUAGCUAUCUUGGAGUUCUUUCUCGUGAGAGGAUCUCCAUUUUGACUAAUUCAUGGAACGAGGUGUCAGAGGUCGAUCGAAGCAUGCUCUGGGAGGAUGUUCUGGUCAGCUUUACAUUAUUAUUGUUAUCAUAUAAUUCUUUUUAAUAUUCAUUUAUUAAUUUUAAUCUGGUGAUGUUAUUUUGCAGGCAAAUUUUGAAAUUCCUGAUGUGGAACCGCUUCGAUCAAAGAUUAUAUCGAAUAUCAGGCUUAAGUUUCACGCCUUUUAGUCAAGACUAACGACGAGAUAUGUCUUUGGUGACCUUAAAGAUGAAAGCCCUUGUCAAUCUUACAAUUUCAUUGAAGAAGAGACAUGGCAUAUUUUUAAACAAAGUCGUCUAAGUGAGGAAUAGAUGGUAAGUUAAGGUACUUAACUAUUUUUAUUUAUAUAACAUCAAUAAGUUAAUAUUAAUUCACUUCAUUUAUUUCAAUUAUGACAGCGUCGACGGAAGAAAGCUCAAGAGAUAGCUUUAAAGAAUGUUACCUCGCACGAGACAGUACGUGCGGGGUAUCGAAGGCUUGAGAAAGCACUGAUGGAGGAAAAAGAGCAAUCUAGACAGGGGAGUGCAUCUGAGGAUGUGGAAACAGGGGUCACUUCUCCUCCAUCACCACCUAAGCGCCAUGUCAAAUGGAAGAGGGUCCGAAUUAAGAAGUCGGGUGCACCAAAUUCUAAGCAAUCAGGGGUUGUCAUAGAAAAAAUUAUAAGUUAUUUAAGCCUUUUUUUCAUUUACUAUGCUGCAUUACUCAUAGUAAAAGCUGAUAUGAUUUUGGUCUCUUGUAGGAUACUUUGGACUCCCAGGGCAAUUUUACUCCAGAAGGUCGUCACGAUAUCCUUGUUGAAGCACUUGGACGACCUGAGCACCCUGGUCGUGUUCGUGCAGCUGGACAAGGAGUUGGAAUUAAAGAAUAUUUUGGAGCUGCACGUUCACACUUAUCCUCCUCCCCCAAAGAGAGCAAAGAAGAAUUGAAGAAUAGGCUACGUAAAGAAUUAAUGGAGGAGAUGAGAAAGGAGACUGAAAGGAUGAAGGCAGCGUUGCGACAGGAGUUAUCGCAUCAACUUUGUGCUGAACCGCUAAUUCAGACACUUGUCAGUCCCGCUCCGAAGAGCACAAAGGGGAGUUGUGCAACUCCUACAACAUCAGGGAAUGAUAUGAUGGGUCAGACGAGGCAAUGUGAGCUACUGGUAGAUGGUGGCAUGAUACCUCAGGUGGUGGCCAUUGGAAAAGUCUAUGAAGAGGCCACCACCUUACACAAUGUUCCUCUCCCCUCGGAUGUGGCAAAGGUAACAGUUGAAAGAGUACGAGUACCUGAUGCUCAUGUUCCACUACCUUUAGAAAAGGUAACAACUGUGGCUGAUGCAUUUUAGUCAUUCGUAGCCUGGCCCAGACACCUCAUUCGAAUUAUGCCAGAACCAUCGGUAAUAAUUUCACUCCAUAUGGUAAUUUAUAUUUAUAUAUUACAUCUAAUUUAUAACCAAUGUUCUUUCAUUUGUAGAAACCUCGUCGAAAACCAAGUCCAAAAAAGAAGCAUGAGGUUCCGGUUGACGAUCCUAUAGCUUCCUUAGUUAUAGUUGAUAGAGAAAUUGGACGAGACCCUCUAGAAGUUCCAUGGGAUGAUACGUUUUUUGAAACAAACCCUGAGCUGCCAUUGUACAUAUACAUGUCAGAUCUAUUAGAAUUUGUAGCUGGGGAACAGGAGUUGAAUAUAAAUAUCAUUCAAUUUUUUAUGAUGUAAGUAUCUUUACCUAUAUUUCAUUUUCAUUUAUGCUAAAUUAGCAUUCAUUAUGCUUUAACUAACUACUUGUAGGUUUUUGAAUGGUGUCUCUGUCACUGAGGGGAAGGAAAAUGUGUAUGGAUUCUUAGAUCCUGCAUAUACUAAUCACACUGGAGCAAAGGCAAAUGAGACCCAAUCAUACAUCACAAACACCUUGGAAAAAGAGGGAAAAGAGGUUUAUUUAUGCCCUUAUAUUAACGAGUAAGUUUAAAUAUAUAUGUUAAAAGUUUAUUAUAUUCAUGUUUUACAAAUUUACUCAACUCUUUUCAUGGAUGAUAUAGGGGUGAUUGGCAGUUACUUGUCUUAUCAGUGAAGGAUAGGACGGCUUUGUGGUUUUGUUCCCUACACAAGAAGGUAUCCACAAGUUUUGAGAAUAUCAUUGAUAGGUAAGUACACUAUCAACUUAAAUUUGUUUGACACUAUAAUUAAUCUACUAACAAAGUUUUUUGUAUCAAUUACCAGUUCAUGGCGUGGAUAUAACAUCCUAAAAGGUCGAGCGAAUUCAAAUUUUCAAAAGUUGAACUGGAUGAGACUAAAGGUUUGUAAUUGUUUUCUUUCUCUUUCCAUUGUUUAUCAAUACUUACUUUUACAAUUCAUUGAAUUAUAGUGUAAUAAACAACCAAAAAGCUAUGAGUGUGGCUAUUACGUUAUACAAUGGAUGGGUACCAUUGUUAGAGUAGGCCAUACAAGUAAUUGGCAGGAGGUAACAUUUGAUAAAUUAUUUCUAUAACUUGAACAUAUCUAUGCAUGUAUCUUAAAACUAACUUAAGUGUUAAACCAUUUUGAAAUGCAGUUCUUUGCAGAUGAGGAACCCAUGUCUUUGGAAGCCAUAACAUAUGUCAGACAGUCUUGGUCCACAUAUUUUCUAAACUUUUAUAACUCUAGGAUAUAUAUAGUUGAUCAAUACUGUAGGAUGAUAAAUAAAGUUGUAUUUGUGAUUUUGUACAUUUUUCAUCAAUACAUAUAAUUCAAAUUUGGCUUUGAGUUAUUCUGAAUGUGUUUAUAUCUCUCUUCUGUCUGGCUGAGUAUAUUUAAAUUGCACAAUAAUGAAUAAAACAAAAUGUUCCUAAAAAAAAAAAAACCUAUUUACAAGUGCGGUUAUUUACCAAGACCGCACUUGUAAAUCAUGCGGGGGUGAUUUACAAGUGCGGUCUUGGUCAUAACCGCACUUGUAAAUCACAUUUACAAGUGCGGUUAUAAAUGAACCGCACUUGUAAUUGUGAUUUGCAAGUGUGGUUAUGACCAAGACCGCACUUGUAAAUCAUUGAAUGCUGAAUGCACCUUUAAAAGAAAGCACUAUUCUGUGAAAUAUACAAGUGUGGUUCCAGAUAAUAACCGCAUUUGUAAAUCGAAUUAUAAAGGCGAUUGUAUAACUGCACUUGUAAAUCAUGAUUUACAUGUGCGUGCUGAUCAAGUGUGGUUGUACAUCCACACUCAUAAAUUCAAAAUAACUGCAUUUAUUUUGUGUUUCCGCACCAGUGUUAAUAUCAUGAACUUCACUGACACACACAGGUAUAUUGUAAAAUAUCUAUUGCUUCUUCCAUUAACAAAUACAAGGACCAUUUUUAGGUACAACAAAUACUCAAGCUUUACACAGCUAAUCUACAUCAGGUGACUGCUACACAAAUUCUACUCUCCUAAUUUUAUAAACAAAUGGUAAUCCAAGGAGGAAAAGAAAAAAAAAUUAAAAGCUAUUUGCAAUGCUCACUACUUCAAUGCCACCUCCCAACUCAACAAGAAAUCAAAUACAAUUCCAAGGUCUAAGAAUGUAUGUUUAGAAGCAUUUACAUUUCACAACUCCCUUUCUUCAAUCUUUCUGUGAGGUGUAUUAGUUUUCCCUGGACCUGUUUAGGUAACUCAUCAUCUGAUAACCCAAUUUCAAUCCCUUCACACUCCUCUUCUUAUAUUUUGUAAGUGUUUGUUGUUGCUAUUCAGAGUCCUUAAACUUUUAGUGCAGAGCAAGAGUUUUUCUGUUGCAAGAGAAUCUAUAGACUCUAGAGGAGAGGUAAUAAAAUAGUAAGAUAUAAUUUAGUUUUAUUUUUGAAUGGGAAGAGAGAUUAGAAGGAUGUGAAAUAAAACAGUAGAGAAACAAUUUUUUAUUGGAAUAAUCAGAAUUGUUUGAGAAUGGAUACUUAAUGAGGUUUUAAAACAACACUACAAUAAUCAUGACCAGAGACCAUCCAUCUAUUGGAAAGACCUGAAGGAAAUAAGUUUUAAACAGUUAGAUGUUUGAAUGUGUGUUGUAAAAUGUGGAUCCAAUCAAUGACCCUUCAGUCUUUUAUCUUUACUUUCAUCCAGUUUUGUUUCUGCAAGAGGGUUAAUGGCAUAAUGAGUGCUCAGGGAAAAGUCCAUUUCUAUGUUGGAAUAUUUGUUAAUUAUUUGAGAAAUCAUAUUGCCAAAGUGGUUUAAAAAUACUUUUAAAUUCCAAUUACAAGUUUCUCAGAUACAGAAUGUCUCUUAUGGCCAUAACUUCCAACUACAGAAUACUCUAUUGGGAAUAGAUGCCAAAUGCAAGACCACCUUCACGAUUUUGGUAGUAUUCUAAAAAUAGGAAACAAAUUUGGUUGGAAUUUAAUUUCAUCAGAACAAUGAAAUAAUUUUGCACGAAAAUAAGAAUAAAAUAAAAGUAAUUUAUUCAUGAAAAAUUUAGUUGAGCCUUCUUUAAUAAAUAUCAUCACAUCAGUUUAAAUAUAACAUGUGCUACUAUCACUACAAAAAAAAAAAUAAUUUUGUGGGGUUAUUUUUUACAUUUCCGGUGGUUUUAACCUGCAUUACUCGCAGUUUGCUAUGUUCCUAGAAAAUCCAUCGUCACUAACGGAUUAUUGACGAUUUUUACGAAUUUUGGAAAAUAAUUACUUUUCGGCGAUUUUGAAACCCCGUUAUUUCUCGACGGUUUAGAAACUCCAUAAUUUUUGAAACCCUUGUAAUUCCCGACGGUUUCGAAACCCCCGUAAUUCCCAGUGUUUUCAAAACUCCUGUUAUUUCUAGCAGUUUCCGACGAUUUUGAAACCUCCGUUACUUUUAGGAGGUGCACAUAUAAAAAAGUAGGUGACGAAUAAUAGAAAUGUUGAAGCAAAAUAGUCUAACGGUCUUCUGAGAUCUUGUGUUCCUCUCCUACUACCUAACACUAAUACACUACCAUUUUUCAACUUUUUUUUUAUUUACUUUCCAAUGUUUCAUAAUACUAUAUUGGUAUAAUUUUUUCAUAAUGAAAAUAUAGACAUUGAAUUAUUAAUGUAAAAAAUGUGUGUAGUAUGUGAUUAACAUUAUUAAUGCCGAAUAAUUAUAUUAAUGUAAAAAAUACAUAUCACUUACUAAUUCAUUUAUCUUAUUCAUUAAGAUCCAUCUAAUAACCAGAAGGUGUUAGAAUAAUAAACAUAAAGGUUUAGAUUCGAUUCUUAUUAUAAAAUAGUUAAUUGUUUUGGAACAAAAUCCUAAUGACAAUUUGACGUCACUUUCAUUUUUUUGGUGAGGGAAACGGGUCAUUUUUAGUAGUGCCCUUGAUAAAACAUCAUAAUAUCAUGAAAUCUUCCAAGUUCAACAGAGAGGAAACAUGAAACUAUUGUUGAAUGGCUUCGAACUGCCACAGAAUGGCUUCGAACUGCUUUUUAAUUGCUGUGCUGACUAGAACAAAUUUUACCAAAUUAGCUGAUGUGAUAUGAUUCACCCACAAUAGCUGCCACAGAACCUGCAGAAAUAACAAACUUCAAAAACUAGUAGCUACUUCAAAGCAGGUUACAGUUGUAAGGGGCAUUGCACUAAAACUUUAAGGAUGUUUUUGACACACCAAUUUUCCAAAAUGUAACUUAGUUCCAUUCUUUGAACUCUUAUGUACAUACACAUUGGUAGACACCCUUUGAAAAAAUUUGACACACCUUGUUUUGUUUCACUAAAACAACAGGCAUUCCAUUCCAUAACAUUACCUGCCUUAUAGCAUAAUGAUAAGACUUCUAAUAUCCUUCAGUGAUAGUGGUUUCUCCUGCUCGUAAUAUUCCUCAUUAUCAACUAUCAUGAGCAUAUGCCUGAUUAAAGAAGAACAGCUUAUGAUUAAAAGAAAUACUAAAACAGCGUAGAAACUGCAAUUCAUGCAUCAACACAAGCAUUUUAUUAAACAAGCCAAUAGUAUAAAAGAUUGUAAGCAGGACAGAAUACAGAAAGAGACAACAGCCAACCUGGUGCAUCGCCAGAGAGGUAUGAUAACCGUUCAGACAAGGAUGACCAUUUUUUGUUUUCAUGGCACCAUUUCAUAAAAUUCCAAAGUUUAGAAACAAGUUCAGUUCUGUAGGCAAGUACAGAAAUAAUCUUUUCAAGAAGCAAUGUGUUGAAGAUAACAUGUAAAAAUCCACAAACUGCAACCUCCCUGUCCUCUGGCACCCCAAAAAUGUUUUUUGACACUUGAUACAGAAAUCAUUUGCAAGAUGGUAUACCAGUUGGAGAAGGAAGCGAGUAUCUAUGGCAUUAGAGAUUUGUUGAAUCAAUUUCCUAUCCAAAACUACCUCCAUGACUUCAUCUUCGCCAGUCAUUUCAUCCUCAGCAAUUUUAGAGUCUGAAAUUAAAACUACACACAGCUUAAAAACAAAUGGUAAGAGAGAGAAUAAUCUCCCAUACACACACAAAAAAAUAAUAUUUAAUAAUUAUGAUUAAAUAUAGUAACCAAGCUUCAGAGUUAUGCUCAAAUCUAACAUAGAAAAAGUUGCACACUUAUUUUUGCGUAGUAAGUUGACUUCUCUAUGAUAGAUUACUUUGCUUGGGGUUCUAAACAAAGUGUAUCCUUCCACUCUUUUGCAGUUUCUAAUAAUACACUCGGUGUUUGAAGGUAAAACUAGGCUGUGAUGUUACAGAAGUAAUAUAUUGAGGAUUGUUUAUAUUGGGAAGGUGAUCCAUCCUUGAUUAAAGGGUUAGCUUAUUGCCUAGUAGUAUGCAUGUAGAUAUAGAUGUAAUUGUAACAAUACAUUCUUCCUUCUUUUAAAGAGAAGAAAUAUGAUAUUUGUCAAUAAAGUUUAACAAAGAAAAUAGUAUCUUUAAUAAGAAAAGCUUGAAGGUCUGAUCAGAAAUCAUACUCUCUCUACCAUCAGAUCUUGUCUUGUCGGAGAUGGAUAUGAUUCCAGCAAAAAUGUCGUAACAGAAGCAAGGUUUAUAGCAUGCUCAAUUAUCACUGCCUGACAUAGUAUUUGGUACAUCUUGGAUAAUAUUUAGUCUAUUUGUCUUUCUAUAUUCAUCACUUUUUUUCAAUUUUCUUACUUUGAUUGUUAGUUUUCAAAACUGAAAGUGGCAUAAUUAAUUGAAACAGUUGUGUGCAUUGCAGAAAAGUGCGCUCUAUUUUGUUCUUUGAAAAGAAAAUUUAGAAGCAAUAGACCCAUGAAGAGGUUGGUGGACAACAUUAAGUUUAACUAGAAAACCUUUUACAGUUAAAUUAUCAAACCAACAAAAGAAAUCAGUAGACAAGUCAUGAAUACAUAAUACAUUAGCAUAAGAGCUUUUUUACACCUACAUUUUUAGAUCAAAGGGUGGGAGAUCAAACAAAUCUCUGAUAAAUCAUAUUGCUUCAUGAGAUUCUAUAAUCACAUAGCCGAGAUCAGCUACAAUUUACUAUGCUCAGUUACUAAUGUAUUUGAUAUAUAUAUAUAUGCGUAUGUAUUCUAAUUGCUAUAGUUCAAGAAGCUCUACCAUGACAGGAAAGAUGUUGGAAAUCAGACUUAUCCAAUGUGAAAUUUAGCAGAACAACAAAAUAAUAAAAAUUACUAAUGUGAUUACUUUAACAAUUUUGUAAUCAACAAAUCCAUAGUGAUAUUUGCAAUGCUAUGACAUUAUUACUAAUUUUGUUCAAAAGCAAUAACAGAUAAUAACAGCAAAAAGGCAACUUCUAGAAAAAUGCUUGAUUUGGAAAAAAGAAUUAUAUUAUUGCCAAUUAACAAAUAAUCAAUUAAAAUCAUCUGGUCAUCUCCUCUAAAACAUAGAGUUUAUUUUGUUUAGUAAAUGCCGAUUACAGAGUGAAACAUUUGAAACUUCAGAAAAUUGUAAUUAAAAAGGAACAGAGAUACUGUGGAAAAUUAAUUAGCACCAGUAGAAGAGGCAGAGAAAUGGGAAUUGCUCCACAUCUAAUUUUGAACUUGUGCUUCAUCUUAUUACCUAACACUCAGUUUUUCAAUGUGAGCAAUCUUUCCCCAGCUUUGCCUUCUGGAUUCUGACAAUGUUGUUUGAGCAAUGAACAUUCUCAAAUUGUAAGAGAAGAGAUGGAACUUCAUCGGGAAAAGGCUCCACCUUCAAUGUCAACCUUUUCAAUACACAAGCUUGGCAAACAUGUGUUUACAUCCGCUGGUAAGCAUUGAAGGUUGGGACAUUCACGAAGGAGGAGAGUGGAGAGGUGGCAGAGACCCUUCAAGUGCAUCGUUUUAAGAUUUGGGCAAUCAUAGAUUUGUAGAGAGGUGAGAGAGCGUGGCAGCAAAACUUCAUCAGGAAAACACUCCACGUCCAAAUUUACAAUAGACAAGCAUUCAAGACAUGUGUUGGGAUCCAAGGUGUCUCUCAAGGAGGCAAUAACUUUGAAACAUGAAAAAAAAAUAUGUUUUAUAUUUAAUGGCAAACUUCCAUCAAUAUAUAGGUUUAUGAGAUGAUUAUUAGUGGACUCCUGUGAAAUUCUUCUUAUGUUUUGGCAAUUUGUCAGUGUAAAAGAACAGAGCUUUGGAAAGAAAUGUAGUGGAAAGAUUGUAAGAGAGUCGCUGCCUCCAUCAAUAUGCGAUGUGUCCAUACUGUUUCCGCUAAUUCUGAGCUCAUCACUAACAACUACUUUCUUUAAAUCAGUACCUUUCAGUUUGGGACAUUCAAUCACAUAAAGUUGUUGAAGACGUGGAAAAGAAGUAGUUUUACACUCCCAUUCUUCCCAUUCCUUCAUAUGAUGGAAUGUCAGACUCUCCAAGCAUGCAAAUGAAGAGUUGCUCCCAUAAAAUUCAGCACCAAUGCUCACUAUUCCAUCAAGCCCUAAAAUCUCAAGGGUCUUCAGUGAUGACAAAAGUCCAAGGGGAGGCAAACAUAGGCAAUAUUUACAGUCCUCCAACUUUAAGAACACCAGAUUUGAUAACAAAUUAUCGAAUACCCAACUUGGGAAUUCUAUACCACUGUAGUUACAUAUGAACAAACGCUUCAAGUGUGUGUUAGGUUGUAGAUUCUCAAGUACUUUCUUUUCUUUCCUUGUAUCAUUAGGGAUGUGGUCCGACUUCCAUUCUAAUUCUAGAUGCACAAGGUGUUUAUCCUUCACAUUUGCUUCUGAUGCAUCUAAAGGAUUGAAAAUAUUCUGCAAGUCAUUGAUUGAUAGCCAUCCACGAAGAUUGAGUCCUCCCAAUCCGCUCAGUUGCUUAGUACUUAGCUCGCUAUUUCUAUCCACGAAAAACGUACUUAGUACUUGAAGAUUCUUCAAUUCUCCAAAAUGCAUUCGCAUCUUUGACACUCUUGUACCUUUAAAUUCCAGGCAAUGCAAUUUAGUAAGUUUAUGCAAAUUUAAUGGCAAUUUCUUGAACCUUUGACACCAGUUCAACUCCAAGAAACACAAUUUGGUAAGUUUGUGCAAAUUUAAGGGCAAUUCCUCCAGCUUUGAACAAUAGUUCAACUUCAGUAUUAGUAAGUUAUAGAGCAAACACAUCGAGUUAGGUAGCUUUUUUAUCGCAGUAUGCGAAAGAUCUAAUGAAUGGAGAUGUCUAAGAUCACCUAUAGAAUCUGGGACCUCUCUAAGGAAUGAACAAUCAUGGAAAGAUAACAUUCGUAUAAACUUAAUCUUGGAAAACAAAUCAUGUAUUGAAGUCUUGAAAUGCCAUUGAGGUUUCCAUAAUUGUGGGAUAGGAAGAAAUGAACGAAAUCUUUUAGCAUCAAUUAAACUCCCAAAACCAUCAAAACUUUUGACGUCACAAAAUUCAAAUGAAAAAUGACGGGUUGUUUUCGGUAUACAUCUGCCUUUAUCAAAUUUCAACCUGAAACAAGAAUUCGCACAAACAUAUUUUGCCAAAUCAUUCAGAAGGUCAUGCAUGACAUAACCUCUCUUAGCACCUAUACGUUGAAAAAAAGACCUUGACAAUAGAUCAUUGAAGUGCUCUUCACCAACUUCUUCUAGAUGUCUAAUCUGUUGUGGACUUUGUAGAAAAUUUUGGGUCAUCCACAUCAAAAUUAACUCCUUCACAAACUCAUAAUCUUUAGGGAAUAAGGCACAAUAAGCAAAGCACCUUUUAAGAUGAGAAGGAAGACAGCGAUAGCUCAAAAAUAACGCAGGGAUAAUUUCAUUGUGUUCUGGUAACUCCCAUAUAUCACUUUCGAAUAUGCUUUUCCAAUCUGAAAUAGAUGACUUUGUGCGUAAAAGACAUCCAAUUGUUUUCAGAACUAGAGGUAAUCCCUUGCACUUCUCAACUAUUCUUCUACCAACCUUCAUUAACUCAUCAUUCAAUUCAAGAUCACCAUCUUUAAUUGCAUGAUUUUCAAAAACUUUCCAGCCAUGCUUUGACGUGUGGAUCUGUGAACUGCUUUAGUUCAGCAUCAUCAGCGAGAGCAUUGAUGGAAUGCAGCUUGAUGUUCAAAUUGGCGAGGAGUUUCUCAUCAAGUUUUCUUCCAGGAAAAAAGUCCAGAAGUUGAGGAGAAGUCAGCUUGUCGAAUGCAACCUGAAGAAAGGCGGAAAGAAGAGCACCACCAACAAAUGAAGUGAAUGGAAGUGUGUGAUUUGAAAUGGACAGUGAUUAAGUGCAAGGAAUCUUUCUCAAUCAAUGACCUUUUUUAAGUCUUCCCAUCAACGGUUUCUGAUAAACAAAAUAUUCACAGCUCUAAUCCAUGAAUGGAUGUCUCACAAUAAGAUGCAAUAAACAAAUAUGCCUCGUAAACUUUCAUAUUCUCUAACUUCAGAUAUAUUAUAAUUAAGCAUAUCUAUUUUAUGUCUACGUUUUUUUUUUUUUGUUAAAGAUCCGAUUUGUUUCUUAAUGUAUGUUGUUGGAUUUUAUUUUAUAAUAUUUAUACUUUGUUUAUGAAUUUCCAAGCUAGCUUAAUUAGUUACCGUUUGUAACGUAUGAGGUGUUUUUUAGAACUUGUGUAUAUAGGGACAGAAUGAAAUAAGAUGGUGGGAUACUUAAAGGGUCUUAUAAAGCUAGAUAUUUAUUCUUAAAUAAAUAGGAAAUGUGUUUUUAGUGGAAACAAAAACAUUUUGCAUUUUGACAAAUUUUGGGAAGAAGUUACUAUAAAAAUGNNNNNNNNNNNNNNNNNNNNNNNNNNNNNNNNNNNNNNNNNNNNNNNNNNNNNNNNNNNNNNNNNNNNNNNNNNNNNNNNNNNNNNNNNNNNNNNNNNNNAAUACAAAACCGAGAGGUCUCAUUUUUUGCAUGGCAGAAAACAAAAACCGAGAGGUUUUCUCAUUUUUUGCAUAGCAGAAAACAAAAACCGAGAGGUUUUAUCAAAAAACCGAAAGGUUCCAAUACAAAACCGAAAGGUCUUAUCAAAAAACCGAAAGAUUCUAAAACAAAAACCGAGAGGUCUCAUUUUUUGCAUGACAUAAAACAAACACCGAGAGGUUUUAUCGAAAAAACCGAAAGGUUCUAAUGCAAAACCAAGAGGUCUCAAGACAAAACCGAGAAGUCUAAAUAAACAUUGGCGUAUCAGUAUCAAGUCCAAAAGUUCAAGCCUAUAAAAAUAGUCAAAAUUGGUCUCUAACUCCAAAAUUAGAAAGUUCAUAGACAAUUAUUUUCGGUUCAAACUCAAAAAUUGAAAGUGGACAAUCACAUCUUCACUUUAUCUUUCAUGCACAUUUGUGAUAAAUAAAGAUUAUUCACUAGCAAAUAAUUGGGAUACGUGCAAAAUAACUAUCAAGUGGCUGGGACAAAACAUGUUACAUCAUCAGUGCCACCCUGGAACUUUACUUGGGAGUUCUUACAAACCAACUGAAACACGCUAUUCGGCGCCGGCACGCCUCACAUCAUCAGUGCCACCAUCUUCAUCUUCAUCUUCAUCAUAAGGAAUUUCACUGAUGGGCAUCAGUUCGUCAUUAUAAAAAUCUUUGCCCAUGUCGAAAUUUCCAGCAUCCGAUGGACUCUUGUAAAAAUACUCGGCUUGCUGGAGAGGUUUUGCUAAACCCAACUUGUGUUGCUGAACAACAUAACCCUCAGCUCGAGUAACCCUUGAAUUCAAGUGGUUUUUCACAGAUUCUAAACGAAGAUUAUUAUCAGCUUCAGCGAAGUUUCCUUUCAAACGUUGAAUCUCAUUGUCAAGGGAUAACUUAUGAGUCGUUAACUCAGUAACCUCAUCCUUCAAAGACUCUUUCUCGGCUUCAUCACAAUCAUUAGCCUUAGACAAACUCUUCAACUUGGGAAGUUAAGGAUAUGAUCUUCUCAUUUGAUUCAGUUGCUUCCUUUUUCAAUUUUUCAAGUUCAAAAGAAGAAACAUCCUUAGUCUCUUCUCUUAUUGCUUUGCCAAUUAGUAAACUCCGACUAGUAGCCUACGAGAACAUGUCACGGGAAGAAGCAUUGGGACUAGUAUGCACAAAAUCCGAAAGUUAUAGGUCGAAAAGUUGGCCGAAAGGAAAUCCGAAAGGUAAACGGCCGAAAGGUAAACACAUCUUCAAACAAAGCAAAAAUUAUGUUAUUCAAGACUCUUGCUGGAUUCAACCAACUCUUUAUUCAGCUUCAAGAUCUAUAGCUUCUUCACUUGAACUCCUCACUACUAACUUGCUCGAUGACAUUGCAAGUAUUGUCCGAACGCCCGCUCGCUCGAUUAUCAUCGCGAGUGCCGGCCGAUCACUCACCAAAUUUGCUCGAUUCAUCUCAAUUACUUUCCUGAUAGCCUCGUUACUCAUGUCCACAAAUUCUGUAAAUUCAUCAGAAAUCGAAACAGAGCCUGCAGAAGACAUUAUACCUUUUGAGAGUAUUCGGUUCAAUCUUUCUGAAUCAAUAAAAACAAAAAACCCUUCCAACCGAAGCGUUACGAUAUCACAAUUAUAACUCGUCAUGUUAAUCGACAUAAUCAAGAAAAGUACACGAAACAAGGCAAUACUUUGAUACGGAAGGUAUUAACUACAAAAUUUGUCCUUUUCAUUAGGCAUAACGUCUUUUUCAAAUCCUCAUGCCUGGGGGGCUAGUGUACUGUCUCGACCGAAAGGUCAACUGAAAGUCUCGACCGACCGAAAGGUUGUACGGCCGAAAGGUCAACCGAAAGUCUCGACGCCGAAAGGUCAACUGAAAGUCUCGACCGACCAAACGGUUGUGCGACCGAAAGGUCAACCGAAAGUCUCGACCGACCGAAAGGUUGUGCGUAAAAUUAAAUUAGUGAUUAUAGCAAAGCCCAUAAGAUGGGCCCAAAUAUACAGGUGUGUGUUUUCAAAAUGUUAGGUGCAAAAAGAAAAGACCUAAGUAACUCUUAAGCCCAAUAAGAGAGUCUUAUAAAUAGAGGUUCAACUCAAAAGGUAAGGAGAAUUUUCAAUUGAUCUGAUAAGCAAAAAACUAUAUCUGACUUUGGCAUCGGAGCGCCUUGCAGGUACACACACCCACCUGUGAGGAGAAGAAGUCGAGAGCCCAACCCGAGAAGAAGCCGAGAUCACCUAGCUGAAGGAGAGGCCGAGAGCGCCUAGCUAAAGGGGAAGUCGAGAGCACUUAGCCGAAAGAGAAGCCGAGAGCCCAACCCGAGAAGAAGCCGAGAUCACCUAGCCGAAGGAGAAGCCGAGAGCACUUAGCCGAAAGAGAAGCCGAGAGCAUCUACCUUGAGGAGAAGUCUAGAGCACCCAAUGUGAGAAGAGACCUAAACCCUAAACCCUAAACCCUAAACCACACGCAGCAUUCGUUCCCAUUUUAAUCUUAAAUUUCAUCUAGGUUUUGUUUCUGCUAGGUUUCAUCUUGCAUAAUAUUUAGUCUAUUUUUGUCUUUCUAUGUUCAUCACUUUUUUUCAAUUUUCCUACCUUGAUUGUUAGUUUCCAAAACUGAUAGUAGCAUAAUUAAUUGAAACAGUGGCGUGCAUUGCAGAAAAGUGCGUUCUGUUUUGUUCCUUGAAAAGCAAAUUUAGAAGCAAAUAGACCCAGAAAGAGGUUCAGAAAAAAAAGUUUAGUUAGAAAAAUGGAGUUUAGAAGUCUCUAAUUGUUCAUUUCAAUUUUUUAGUAUAGUUCGCUGAACUAAUCAGUAAUAGUUCAGUGUUGACGAGGAUAAAUUUGUUUUGUUUUAUGCUGGCACAGGUAAAAUAUAUUGUAAAAUUUCUAAAGCUUCUUCCAUUAACAAAUACAUGUGUCUUUUCUUAGAAGAAUUUCAAGUUAAAGUUGUAAUGUCAGAAGUAAAAGGUAUUUGCAAUGCUCACUGCUUCAAUUUUUUUUUUAUCAGCAAAGAAUUAAAAUUAAAUUUAAACGGGACAUUUCAGGGAUGUCCCAACCCUUAUACAAACCUCCUCCAUCACAUAUAGAUAAAACACAUGUGGAACAGAGUUAUAGAUAAACCUGAGAAACUUUGGCAUAGAAACAGGGAAAACCGAAAGCUAUUAACCAAAAAAGAUAAGUGCAACCAUGCAGCAAAAGCAGGAGGAAACUUCCCAGCACAGUGCUCCCUUCUGUAUCUCAAGGACCAUGAACCAGCGCUCACUAUGACACGUGGCACUUCCUAUCUUUCAACUUUAGCAUGCCAGCACCUGUUUGUAACUCCUGUAUCCUUUCAAGUGUCCUUGGGUUGCCUAUCUUACGUACUUGGCCUCAACAUUUGACCCAGUUAAUUCACCGAACACCGCCUACAAACUUGAGAACAAAAACCUGCACCAUGCAACGCCCGUUGGUUCAGACACAUUGACGCUCACCCCCCGUUUCGGCCUACUCCUUAGCAUCUCUGCUUACUCCACUCCAGCUAAUAGCAGUAACCAGAAAAUGCCGGAGCUCCUCUCCAACAGACCUGAUAAACCUUAAGGACUUGAUAACGGAGGUCAGACAUCCAACUUUUGUUCCAGCCUCCAUACCAGCUAAACCUUCUAGGUUUAUAAACUUCACGCAUCCUGCAAGAACACCCUACAACAGUACUUACCACGAGCUCAGCAAUCUGGGUGUUGCUUGCCCAGAGCACUCCACGCUAACAGAUUGUAUGCACUUCUUUGCUAAGACCUAAACCUGCUGUCACCGGAGAACCAUAAGGCACUGGUUCGGGUUCAAAAUCCAGUCAGAUAGCCCAUAUGAAAAAUCAGUUGUGUUGUGUUUUAUCCACAACCAGGAUUGUACUUGAGCAUUUUGGAAUACUUCGUCCGCAUCUGGUACCCCAUCCUUAAAAACUAUCAGGUUCCUCUGCUCCCAAAUGCACCUGAUAAUUAUCACCCACAAACCUAUCCACACUUGAUUUUGCUUGCUAGAGAGGUGGAUUAAGUGAAAGUUCAGCAUAUGGUUCCUAAUAUCCUUGUUAUGGGCCCCCAAAACACCAAUCCAGCGAUAGCAUCGAGACCAGACUUGUUGUGCAAGGGUGCAGUCAAGGAACAGGUGUUGGGAUGAUUCUACGGCCAGAUUACACACAGGGCAUAAGGAAGAGAUCAUGUGCACUCCUCUUCUAGAAAGGUUAACUCUGGUAGGAAUUCUGUCAUGAAGGACUCUCCAUGCAGUUAUAAGUGCUUUUGGUGAGGCUUUUGCUUGCCAUAAGGUACUGAACACUCCUUCGUUUUCCCCCGUAGCUUGGUGAUUGGCCAGAACAGAGUAGGCUGAUCUCACUGAAAAAAUUCCAGUUGGAUCCUUCCUCCAUACAAGGUGAUCGUGAGAGUCCUUACAUAUAACUCCCGUAUACAAGCUUGAGAGCAUAUUUUCCUCCAUGCUUGACUCCCAAUCAUACCUAUCCCUUCUCCAAUUAAGCUGCCACUGCCACCUAUCAUUCUCCCAUCCUCCUACCUCCCCCACCGUCUUACCCUGAUCAAGCGACAAAGAAUAGAGUCUAGGAUACAGGGCUUUUAGGCAAAAAUUUUGUAACCACGUGUCCUCCCAAAAACGGACUAGGCCUCCAUCGCCUAUUCUCCACACAAUGGCGUUGUGGAACCAAUCUUCCUCUUCCCCGUCACCACAUACCUUAGCUAGGUCCUUCCACCACCAUGAUUGGUAUCUCUUCCUUGUCUCUCCUCUAAUUGUUUCUGUACCAUAUUUAGAAACAAUAAUAUCCUUCCAUUUUCCUCCCUCAUUAUUCAUGAUCCUCCAUUUCCAUUUUGCCAAAAGAGCCGCAUUAAAGAACCUAGUCUCUUUAAUGCCCAACCCUCCUUCCUCCUUGUGCCUACAAAUAUUUUUCCAACUUACCCAAGAGAUUGAUUUAUUUUCACUACCCCAUGCCCAAAGGAACUUCCUUUGCAACCUGCAGAUGCUGUCAUGUACAGCUGCAGGGGCUUUAAAAAUAGAGAAGUAAAACAGAGGUAUGGCAGUGAACACCGACUGGAGCAGACAAAUUCGGCCCGCCAUAGAUAAGAAUUUUCCUUUCCAAGUACUAAGUCUGGACUCAAUUUUCUUUAUUACCGGCUCCCAAAACUGUUUCUUCCUCGGGUUUCCCCCCACUUCGACUCCCAGAUAUUUAAGAGGGAGCCGCAUGGUGUUACAGUUUAGGGUCUUCGCAUAGGUAUCCAGGGUAUAGCUGUCAACACUAAUGCCUACCAACUUCGAUUUGUGGAAAUUAACUUUCAAUCCAGACAGGAUUUCAUAGCACCGGAGGAUGGCUUUGAUAGAGAAAAUAUUUGAGAAGGAAUCUUCACACAUAAAAAGUGUAUCAUCUGCAAACUGAAGUAAGCAACACUCAAUACUGCUUCUUCCCACCUUUACUCCCCUGAGAACAUUCAUACGUAGCGCUUGUCUUACCAACCCUGCUAAACCUUCGGCUACCACUAGGAACAAGAAGGGAGCUAGGGGGUCCCCCUGCCUCAACCCCCUAGAAGGUUGGAAUUCCUCCGUAGGGCUCCCAUUGAUCAAGACAGAAACAGUCGACGACACCAAACACCCUUUAACCCACAAGAUCCAUUUAUCAUGAAAACCCAAUCUACAAAGCAUAUCAAACAAGAAAGACCACCUCACAGAGUCGUACGCCUUUUCAAAGUCUACCUUAAAACAGACCCCGCUCCUCCUAUUUAACUUUAACUCUUCUAAAAUUUCGUUAGCCAUAACAACACUACCCGUUAACCCUCUUCCACUAAGGAAGGCGGACUGACAAUCGUCAAUGAUCAUCGACAUAACUUUCCUCAUGCGUCGGGACAAGAUCUUUGUGAUUAUCUUAUAAAUAACUCCUACAAGAGAUAUCGGACGAAAUUGAUCUAGCGAGGAAGGGUCUCUAACCUUGGGGACAAGAGCAAUGAAGGAGGCAUUGCAACCUUUCGGAAAAGUUCCCGUAGCAUGAAAAAAGUGCACCGCUGCCAUAACAUCAGGCUUGAUCACAUCCCAAGAUGACUUAACAAAGUUGAAGUUAAAGCCAUCCGGGCCCGGGCUCUUAGACCCUCCACACUGCCACACAGCAUCCUUCACUUCAUCCUCGGAAAAAGUACUUGUCAUGUUCCUGCUCACCUCAGGAGAUAGAGAUUUAAAGUCCACUAUACCCAGAUUAAUGCCAUAGUCCUGUGUAGCCGUGAAGCGCUUUUCAAACAAAGACUUAGCUUCCCUACGAACAACAUCCGGUUCUUCACACCACAAACCGUCAAUCUCAACCCCUUUGACCUCAUUCUUAAGUCUUCUCCAUCUAAUUGCAUUGUGGAAGAAUUUUGAGUUAAUGUCCCCAUGCUUAAUCCAGUUCCCCCUCGCCUUUUGUCUGUAUAAUGAGUCUAACUUUUUCUCAAUCAACCCCAAUUGGCUGAAUAAUUCCAUUCUUCUCAACUUACCAUUUUCCACCAGAACAUCAUUGUCAUCUUUGACAUCAAGAUCCUCUAUUUCUGCCACAAUAUUUUUCUUUUUAAGUUCCAUACAGCCGAAUUCUUCUUUAUUCCACACUCUUAUAUCAGCCUUCAGGAGCUUCAAUUUAUCCUUAAGAGAGGACAUACUAUUGCCAUGAACAGAAUAUGAUCCCCAUUUUUCCUUUACCAGAGCCUUAAACCCCGGUUCUUCAAGCCAUACAUCUAAAGACCUAAACGGUUUAGGCCCCCAGUCUUUAACACACGACUUCAACACCAGGGCACAGUGGUCAGACACCAUUCUUGGUUGUACAUGUUGCUUAGAUGCAGGCCAUUGGUUGAGCCACUCCUCAGAGACCAAGAUUCUAUCAAGUCUACUCUUAGCCGUGCCAUUGGAUUUGAACCAAGUGUACUUUUUACCAACAAAGGGUAGGUCCACCAACCCAUUACUUUCAAUAAAGCAAUUAAAACCGUCAAUCUCCUUCUUUUGGCUUAAGCUACCUCUGAUCCCUUUCCUUUCAUCUUCACUCCUAACAGCGUUGAAAUCACCACAGACACACCACGCCAAGUUCACAUAUGUUUGCUUAAGAGCCGUCAAAGUUUCCCACAAAACACCCUUAUCCUUUAGGUUACACGCUGCAUAGACAUUUACCACUACGCACUGACGUUGAGCUUUCAGAUGUUGGCCCACAAUUGCAAUGUAACCUUUUCCAAUCACAUGGCUGCCAUACUCGAACACUUCUUUGCGCCACAUAGUUAUCAUACUCCCUGCCCCAUUAACCCCUUCGUAGUGGACCCAACCGAUACUACUUUCACCCCAUAAAGAGAAACACUUAGAAUCUGAAAAAGAUGUGGAUUUAGCCUCCUGCAGGCAUAAGAACUCAGCACCCUCCUUUCCCACAAUGUGUCUCAAGUACCGUGCUUUCGUCCCCCCUCCCAACCCUCUUAUAUUGAGAUUUACUAUAAUCAUGGACCCACUUUUUUCUUCCCCCCCUUAGACUUAUUGUUAACUUCAUUGUCUCUUACCUCCAAACGGCCCAAUUCUCCUACCACUCCCUCCGCAUCCCCUGAGCAUUGUAACCCCAAGUUUUGGCCUAACUCCCAAACUCUAACGGAUUCAGCAGCUUGCUCUUUUGACUUAAUCCGACUAUUACACAGAUUAAUAUCAUUAAUCGAUUCAGCAAAGGAGCAGCGACUUAACCUGGAUGAGGAGGUUACACCAUGGAGGGAUCCGAUACCGCCGUUGGUUCUCCAUUUUGGCUGGGCGAUUUUGCUCUCCAUCAAUCUACGAAAUUCCGGCGAGGUUUUGCUUGCCCCUUCUGUGUGGGUUGACGCCUUUUUCCCAUUAGUUGUCCCCAUUCCGCACCCCUCUCGUCGGCGAUUUGUGCUUACACUGGGCUGGGGAUCUGAACUUCCUGAUGAUGAAUCUUGCCCCUCACUAAAAUGAUGCGUUGCAUGGCAUGGGGAGAGACCCGAAUCCUUUUCCUGCACCAGCUCCACUGCUGAGAGGGCAACUCGCCCACUCAUUUUCGACGUAGAACAAAGGUGUGGAGGUGGAGACAAGGCCAGAACUCCAACCCCCUCCUCGUAACCCAUUUUUCGUUCCGAUUCCUCUUUCCAAAAAGGCACUGGGCCUCCCUCUUCUUCUUCUUUACUAGACGCACCCUGGCUCUCUAAUUGGGCUUCAACUUGCUUAGGCCCAAGAAGGUUUGCACUUUGAACCCCUUCAAGUAGGUUAACCAAGCAUUGUUGAAUUACUGUGCAGGCUGCGUUGACUUGGCUUGGAACUGAUAAAGCAGCCCCUCCCUCUGACUCCCCUAUCACUUGUUUUCCUUCUAUGACAGCUGCAUUAGCUAUGCUAGAAGCUGCUAAAGCAGCCCCUCCCUCGGACUCCCCUCGCACACGUUUUCCUUCAUUUAGAGACAAAAACCCACUUUUGUUCUGACAUCCCAUAUCACUCCGUGCCUUCUUGUCAAACUGCUUCCACUUUGUCUCCUGCUUCAGUUGGGAUUGCCCUACCUCCUCGGGUACCACACCCCACCGCCUGUUGCACUGGUUUCGGUCAGCACCUUCCUCUCCAGAGCUUCCUUCGGAAAAAGUUCCCUCCACAACAGUUUCCGACGACGAAAUGCUAUCCGAUGAGCCAAGAUGAUAUUCAAGACAAGAACAAUCUCCACUCCUUAAACUCAAGAUCUCUUCGACCAGGGAAAUGUUGUAAACUUGACCAUUAAUCCUAAAACCCUUCGCCAUUUCUGCUUUCUGAGAUCUAGGUAGCCGAACCAGCAAACGGGCGUACUCCAGAUUCUCCCAAGAAAGAGUAUUUUCAUCGAUAUCUACCAGCGAUGCUACCUCUCCAACCACCCUAGAGAAGCAAUCUUUAUUCCACAAAGUUAUCGGUACACCAAAACACCUCACCCAUACAAUUUUAUGGUCCACUACAUACUUUGCGGACCAGGGUUCGAUACUACCGAACAACGAUAGAAACCAUUCCUUGUUGAGCUCGAAGAGAUCUUCCAUCCGCUCUCCUUCCUUAGGAGUAAGUAGAAUAAGAUUAUCACCCAAAAACCUCAGUUUAAUCAUGUUCAUGCCCCCUUUAACGAACUCAUCCUUAAGGGAGUCGAAAGUAAGAUCAGGGGACAUCCAACCAACCGCACUACGAACCAACCAUGGUGGGGUAUUUGAUUUUGUUACAAAAACAGGGCCUUUCCAUUCGCCUCGCUCAGAUACGCGAACGGCAUCAGCAUAAGACUGUUUAAGGGAAGGGCCUCUACGAACUGCUUGCCCUGAUACAAAAAAUUUUUCACGCCAAACCUCCUUCCCCUUUGACCGACCCCCUGGGCCAUUGCCAUGACUGAAAUCACUUUGGCGCACCUUUGGCUUUUCCUUACUAAAAUCAACCUCUGGUCUCCUGUAUUUUGGGAGGUUAACAUAAAGUUUGAGGUUGCCAAUAUAGAUUUGAUCCAGCUGCUUCUCCAACCUCGCCUCAUUUGGCACUGGGAAGAAACUCACAAAGCCAAAUCUUCUACCCCAUCUAUUUGGACGUUUAGAUAUAAACACAUCUUUCACUCUAGCCCAUUUUUGAAAGAUUCUUAGCAUGUCUUGCUCCCCAUGACUAGUUGGGAAAUUAGAGAAGAAGAAAGUGCUUGAGUUUUUGGUUGAAGACUUUCCUGCCUUAUAAUCUGCCACUCUUCGCCGAUGAUCUUCCCUUUCCCACCUACUCCGAUCUUCCUUUUCCCACCUUCUCCGAUCGCCCAUCACUCUUUUGCUCACUGCUUCAAUGCUCACUGCUUCAAAUACAACUUCAAGUUGUAUGAAAGGAAGUUUAAAAGUAUUUACAUUUCACAACUCCCUUUGCUUCAAUUUCCCUCUCUCAUGUAAGAGUCACAAUUUCAAACCCUUUUACUUGUUUUCUCCGUAUUUCAUCGUAGAAUGGUUUUGUACAAAAAGACAUAGAAAGACCUAUGGAAGAAAUAGGGUUGAAACACAUGCAUAACAGUUACCAUCACUUCUAAAGGUUUGCAUCAAGGUAGAAUGAGAGGUCAAGAAGAAUAUCCCCAUAGAAUUGCUUAGAAUCCUUUGCCAACCGAAGAAGGUGUCUCCCUCCGGAUUCAGAUUGGAAUACUGUGAAAAAGAUAAUGUGAUUAUCAAUCAAAUCAUUAAUUUAAAAUUAACAAACCAACAAAAGAAAUCAGAAGACAAGUCAUGAAUUAUAUUAGCAUAAGAUUUUGUACAGCUACAUUUUUAGAUCAAUGUGUGGGAGAUCAAACAAAUCUCUGAUAAAUUAUAGUUUAACCAUAUUGCUUCAAUGAGAUUCGACAAUCACAUAGCUGAGAUCAGCUACAAUUUACUAUUGUCAGUUACUAGUGCAUUUGAUAUAUAUAUAUAUAUGUGUCUGUUACUAUUAGUAUAAUUGAUAAUAAUAAUAAUAAUAAUAAUAUUCUUAUUAUUAUAAAUAAUAUUAAUAAUAAUAAUAACAAGUGUUAAUAAUAAUAAUAAAAUUAAUAAAAAGUAAUAUAAAUAAUAAUAAAUAUUAUUAUUUUAAUAUUACACCGUGCAUUAGUAGGUAUAUGCCAUUCACAUGGUUAAGGCCUGCAUUAGGAUUUUAGGUAAUAUGUCUAAACAAUAUAUGUCUAAUCAUAUGGAUGGAAUUUCGCUCUUAAAAGUUAUUUUUGACAUUAGCACGAGCCUAGUAAGGUUUUUAUUCAUGUACAAGUGUAUUGAGACUUUCCUGUUGUAUGUUGGGUUAAAGUGAACAUUGAUGAUGAUGCUUGAGAGUCUCCUAACCCUGCUGCUUGUGCAAGUAUCCUUAAAGGAAGUCACGAGGACUAUAUUGGUGGUCUUGUAUGUUCCUGUUUCUUACCAAAAUUUUGAUUUGAUCUCCACAUGUUUUUUAUCUUUUUAUGUUAUGUUUCAUGUAAUAUUGACAAAAAAAACAUCUUUAACAGCAAACAGUCAUGGCUUAACAAGUGUAUCUUUGAACUACUUUGGCUAUGCAUCAUGAGCGAAAGCAUUGAUGGAAAACAACAUUUUGAUGUUGAAUUUGUUGAGCAGUGCUACAUGGAAGUUUCUUGUACGAAAGUAGUUUAGAAAUAACAGAAAAAAGUGAACCACCAAUGCAUGCUGCUGUCAUGCUAGGAAUAGUACAAUACAGGGUUUGUAUACAUACACAAGUCAACAAAUAGUUGUUAAGUCUUCCAUUGACAUUCAGAACUAAAGAGAAGUACAGAGUGUGACUUUGGAAGAGGUGUGGAAGAAAUAAGGUACAAAGAAACGCAUAACACCCAAAAGGGUAACAUCUCCUGAAGGCUCGAUUCACAUAAAGUCUAAGCACAUUGUUCAGUGUCCUGCUCAGAAUUCUGGUGAGCUGAAGAGACUUCCUUCUACUCCCUCCAUACAUACAAACAAAUACUGUAAACAAGAUAGUGUGAUUAACUCAUUCACUUCAAAAUCAAGACCCCAAAAAAGAAUGUACAUCAGCAUACAAAUUUUUUAGAGCUUCAUAUUUAGAUUUUUCCAAUUAAAGUGCAGUGCUAAAGCUUCACAACACAAUGCUAAUUGCAUUCACUGCUAGCUCCAUGUUUAGAUUAAAAAUAUGCGAAAUUAAACAAAUUUAAGAUAAAUUAUUGUUGAGCCAUAUUGAUUAAAGGAGAUUCUGCAAUGGGGUUGGAGUAGCUACAUACAGCUUGAAUUGAGUAUGGUUAGUGAGUGAUGUAGUUGAUGAAUGAUAAAGCACAUGUCUCUGCCAUUAAUGUAUAUUCUAAUUCCUACUUUCAGAAGCAACUAAGAAAAUUGUAAUCGAAAAGGUACAAAAUAUUGUGGAGAAUUAGAACCUGUUGAAGUGGCAGACAAAUUGAAAUAGGUGCACGCCUAAUUUUGAACUUGUCACUCAUCUUAUGGCCAAACAUCUAAUUUUUUAUGCACGCCUAAUUCUGACAACGCUCCUCCAGCAAUGGACAAUUAAAGAUUUCAAGAGAAGAGAUGGAUUUGGGGAGACCCUCCGCUGGUAAGCAUUCAAGGCUGGGACAAAAAAGAAGUGAGAGAGAGGAGAGGUGGCAGAGACCCUUGUAGUGCAUCUUUUUAAGAUUUUGGCAAUAUUGGAUUUCUAGAGAGGUGAGAGAGCGUGGCAGCAAAACUUCAUCGGGAAAACACUCCACCUCCAACUGUUGAAUAGUCAAGCUUUGAAGACAUGUGUUGGGAUCCAAGUUGUCUCUCAAGGAGGCGAUAAGUUUUAAACAUGAAAGAGACAUUUCUUUUAUAUUUAAUGGCAAACCUCCAUCUGGGAACAACUCAACUUCUGGACACAUAGUUAUAUGCAGCAAGGUAAGGGACGGAAACAUGAUUUGCAUGGGUUUGGGAAAAAAGAAUGAUUUAAAUUGAGGGCAAUCUUCAAUAGGUAGAUCCAUGAGAUGAUUAUGAGCGUACUCCUGUGAAAUUCUUUCUAUGUGGUGGCAGUAUAUCAGUUGAAGAGAACGGAGCUUUGGAAAGAAAUGUAGUGGAAAGAUUGUAAGAGAGUCGGUGCCUCCAUCAGUAUGCGAUGUGUCCAUACUGUUUCCGCUAAUUCUGAGCUCAUCACUAACAACUACUUUCUUUAAAUCAGUACCUUUCAGUUUCGGACAUUUAUCCACAUGAAGCUUUUGAAGACGUGGAAAAGACGUAGUUUUACACUCCCAUUCUUCCCAUUCCUUCAUAUUGUAGAAGUGGAAAUGAAGUGAAAUGGAUUGAGUGGAGGAAUGAAUGGUAUAGUGAUGAAUGAAAAGAGUAGUUAGAAAAGAUGACUUGACUUUAAGAACAUGUUUUUCUUUUAUGGCAACUCAACCAAUAUAAAAUGUGAGCUGUUGGAUAUUCAUUCAACGGUUGUGAUGAAUGAACGAAUGGAAAGAGGGUUGUGGGCCCCAGUGAAGUAGUAAUUGUUAACUGUUUCUGAUGUACUAAAUUUGAGAGUUAUUUUUUAUAUGAAAUUAGCUUUCAGAUUAUAUAAUUCAGAAGUUUUUUUUUUUAAUUGCGUGAUUAGCUUUUGGAUUAUAUAAUUUAUAGGUAUUUUAAAUCAAAAAAAACUUAAGGAUUUUAUAAAUAUAAAAAAAAAGAAUAAAAUGGUAUUUUUAUAUUUAGUAUGGAGGUAGAAGGUAUUGAAGUUGAGGAAGAAGCAGUCUUGAUCAUCACACACAAGUGCUAAUAACCAACCAAAUAUAGUGGUCCACAAAACUCAAGACGAAAGAAAAAAUGAGAACCUAGAGCAGUGCACUCCAAUGGAGGAGAAGGAAAACCAAAAUCUAUUUUUAAUUUUAAAACCCUAGAGGGUAAUUUCGUCUUACCCAGCCUAUUCCAUUACAAAUUAAUGGGUUAACUUCAUUUUUUAAAAAUGGUAACGUUUUAGUUUAGUUUUUUUUUCUCUUAUUAUUUUCUAAUAUGAAAACUAAAAUCAAUAUGCAUAUAUUGACUAUAAUAUAUAUGUAUAUGUAUAUGUAUAAUAAUAAUAAUAAUAUCAAUAAAUGGAAAUUCUAAAUAUAUAUCAUAUAAAAAACACUAAAUAAUAAUUAGAAAUAACAUUCAAAUAAAAUCUAAAUAAUUAUCUCAAAAGUCAAUCCAACAUAUUCCUUUUGAAACAUAAAAUCUAAAUAGGAAAAUACAAUCCAAAAUCAUAAAAAUAUAUUACUAUCCAAUAUCAAUAAUUCACGUCUCUAGCCUUUACGUAAUAUUAGGGUUAGAGUCUUGAAUGCAAUAAUAAAGAUUAUAUUUUUUUUUUUAUCCCCAUAUACAAUAAGAAUUUUUUAAUUAUAAAAGAUUAAGUAAUAAAUAAUUAAACUAAUGGUACCUGUUCUAUAUUAUGUAACUAAUUUUGAGUUAAAAUAAAUGUCUCGAUAUUUUUUUGAAGGAUAGAACANNNNNNNNNNNNNNNNNNNNNNNNNNNNNNNNNNNNNNNNNNNNNNNNNNNNNNNNNNNNNNNNNNNNNNNNNNNNNNNNNNNNNNNNNNNNNNNNNNNNNNNNNNNNNNNNNNNNNNNNNNNNNNNNNNNNNNNNNNNNNNNNNNNNNNNNNNNNNNNNNNNNNNNNNNNNNNNNNNNNNNNNNNNNNAUAUUAUAUAUAUAUAUAUAUAUAUAUAUAUAUAUAUUGUAAAAACUUUCAUGUUAGACAUUAUUAUGUAACUUGACAUCUCAGGUAGGUUGACAUUAUAAAAACAGAUUCACAAAACUGUACUCAAAUAAAAGUAAUCAACCAAAAUUAGCAAUAAAAGGACUACAAGGAAUUGAUGACAUUGUAGGAAAAACAUGACUAGACAAAACAAAUAUGGAUUCUAAAAUCAAAAUGACUCAAACACAAUGAAUUUCACCAAUUAAAAAUAGCAAGAAAGACUCAAAAUAAAGCAAAAACAGAAUUACUAACACAAAAACAGAAUCAAAGUAUCCAACAACUCAAAAAAAAAUUUCAGCACAACCAUAACACUAGAUACCACAUGAUAUGAGCUGGAUUGACACUAAACAAGAUACACAACAUAUAAGGAGGCUUAAGGUCAUCUCAAUGGAGGAUAAUGCCAUCCAAAAGAGAAGCCAAACUCAUUCAAACAAUGAGUGCCACGUCAUUAUCACAAACACUUGGCGGAAUUGAAAGGAAAGCAAGAACAAAAUAAGAACACAAAUAGAAAAACAAUUGAAAUGUGUAAUUGCAAAAACUGGACAGAAUUGAAAGAAGAAAUGAAUCUAUCUAUUGAAAUUGAAGAAACAAGAUGAAGGAAGAUGAAACUUAUGUGGUUGAAGCUUGGUUUGGGAAAUGGACACGCCACUUGGAUGAUGAAUGUUCCAAGAUAAGUGCAGAUUUGCCGCCACUUGAAUGCUCCCAAUGCAUCACAAGAUAAGACAAGGAAGAGGAGAACUAGUCUCACAAUCACUCACAAAUUGAGCAUAGUAACUUUACUCUAUUUUCAAAUCUGAAUUUUACAAGAGCAAGCACCUCUAUUUAUAGCCUUAGAGGUGCUGAAAUAAAAAGCUAAUCAAAUUCAAAUUUCCCUCUAAAUCUAAUUCAAAUUUGGAGCCAAACUUGAGUCACAUGGAAGGUGUGACCUUAUGUUGGGCUUGGGCCUCAUAUUUUUAAGAAGACUACUAGGAAGAACUUCAACUAUUGUUGUCCUUGACCAUUCCUCUUAUUGAUGGCCUCUGUAACUGCUUGUUGAGAAUACCUUUAGAGUAUAGCAUCCUUGGUCAUCUUCAUGUAUUUUUCAUUCUCAUCACCUUUUGUGAUUUGGUUAUGGAUGUGCCUCCUUACCUGAGCGCAAACAACAUAUGAAAGUUCUUGUGUGAAUUUUUUCAGCGCAAUACGGACCCAGAAUAAAAUUGCACAAAGUUGGGCGAAAUUUCACUAGUUUUGGUAGAGGAUAGCCUUUGGUUUGCACAAAAUUUAUGAAAAAUUCUCCCGAAAUAGUUUUUUCCUGAAAUUCCACGUAAGAAUCUCCACUGAAUUUGGGACAAAACGCGAAAAAUUUCUGGUCAAACGGAUGAGUAUUCACCCACGAAAAAAUCAAACAGUUUCACACACAAACGAACCUUCCUUUCAGCCAUGACAGUGAUGAAUAAAAAGUUUAUUGCCAAUCUUGUGGGACGAAUGUGGAGCUCAAGUCUCAGCCAAACCUCAAUAGACACAGUGACACGUCUGGUAAAAAUUUCAGACCAAAAUACCCAAGGAGUAAGGCGUAGUAAGUCCCAGACCGAGAGUGAACAAAACUAGUUUUCCGAAACAAAACGUCCUGGCUUUUCUUCCCCGUAUCUUCCUUCUGUGAUUUGUUUAUUCAGCGCAAUACAAACCCAGAAUAAAAUUGCAGAAAGUUGGGCGAAAUUUCACAAGUUUUGGUAGAGGAUAGCCUUUGUUUUGCACAAAAUUUCUGAAAAAUACUCCCGAAUUAGAUUUUUCCUGAAAUUCCACGUAAAAAUCUCAAUUGAAAUUCGGAAAAAACGCGACAAAUUUCGGGUCAAAUGGAUGAGUAUUCACCCACGAAAACAUCAAACAAUUUCACACACAAACGAACCUUCCUUUUAGCCCUAGCAGUGAUAAAUAAAAGUUUAUUGUCAAUCUUGUGGGACGAAUGUGGAGCUCAAGACACAACUAAAACUCAAUAGACACAGUGACGAACGUCUGGUAAAAGUUUCAGACCAAAAUACUCAAGGAGUAAGGCGUAGUAAGUCCCAGACAGAGAGUGAACAAAAUUGGUUUUCCGAAAACAAAACGUCUUGGUUGCAAACAACAUAUGAAAGUACUUGUGUGAAUUUUUUCAACACAAUACGGACUCAAAAUAUAAUUGCAGAAAGUUGGGCGAAAUUGAAGAAGUUUUGGUAGGGGAUAACGUUUGGUUUGCAAAAAAAUUUCUGAAAAAUUCUCCAAAAAUAGUUUUUUCUUGAAAUUAACCGUAAGAAUCUCCACUGAAUUUGGGACAAAACGCGACAAAUUUCGGGUCAAACGGAUGAGUAUUCACUAACGAAAAAAAUCAAACAGUUUCACACAUAAACGAACCUUCCUUUCACACAUUGCAGUGAUGAAUAAAAAAUUUAUUGCCAAUCUUGGGGGACGAAUCUGGAGCUCAAGUCUCAGCCAAAACUCAAUAGACACAGAGAUCAACGUCUGGUAAAAAUUUCAGACCAAAAUACCCAAGGAGUAAGGCGUAGUAAGUCCCAGACCGAGAGUGAACAAAACUGGUGUUCCGAAAACAAAACGUCCUGGCUUUUCUUCCCCGUAUCUUCCUUUUGUGAUUUGUUUGUGGACGUGCCUCCUUACCUGGGUGCAAACAACAUAUGAAAGUACUUGUGUGACUUUUUUCAGCGCAAUACGGACCCAGAAUAAAAUUGCACAAAGUUGGGCGAAAUUUCACAUGCUUUGGUAGAUGAUAGCCUUUGGUUUGCACAAAAUUUCUGAAAAAUUCUCCUGAAAUAGUUUUUUCCUGAAAUUCCACGUAAGAAUCUCCAUUGAAUUUGGGACAAAACGAGACAAAUUUCGGGUGAAACGGAUGAGUAUUCACCCACGAAAAAAAUCAAACAGUUUCACACAAAAACGAACCUUCCUUUUAGCCCUGGCAGUGAUGAAUAAAAAAUUUAUUGCUAAUCUUGCGGGACGAAUCUGGAGCUCAAGUCUCAGCCAAAACUCAAUAGACACAGUGACGAACGUCUGGUAAAAAUUUCAGUCCAAAAUCCCCAAGGAGUAAGGCGUAGUAAGUCCCAGACCGAGAGUGAACAAAACUGGUUUUCCGAAAACAAAACGUCUGGCUUUUGUUCCCCGUAUCUUCCUUUUGUGAUUUGUUUAUGGACGUGCCUCCUUACCUGGGUGCAAACAACAUAUGAAAGUACUUGUUGAGUUUUUUCAGCGCAAUACGGACCCAGAAUAAAAUUGCACAAAGUUGGGCGAAAUUUCACAAGUUCUAGUAGAGGAUAGCCUUUGGUUUGCACAAAAUUUAUGAAAAAUUCUCCCGACAUAGUUUUUUCCUGAAAUUCCACGUAAGAAUCUCCACUGAAUUUGGGACAAAACGCGACAAAUUUCGGGUCAAACGGAUGACUAUUCACCCACGAAAAAAAUUAAACAGUUUCACACAUAAUUGAACCUUCCAUUCAGCUCUGGCUGUGAUGAAUAAAAAAUUUAUUGCCAAUCUUGCAGGACGAAUCUGGAGCUGAAGUCUCAGCCAAAACUCAAUAGACACAGUGACGAACGUCUGCUAAAAAUUUCAGACCAAAAUACCAAGGAGUAAGGCGUAGUAAGUCCCAGACCGAGAGAGAACAAAACUGGUUUUUCGAAAAGAAAACGUCCUGGCUUUUCUUCCCCUCAUCUUCCUUUUGUGAUUUGUUUAUGGACGUGCCUCCUUACCUGGAAGCAAACAACAUAUGAAAGUACUUGGGUGAGUUUUUUCAGCGCAACACGGACCCAGAAUAAAAUUCCACAAAGUUGGGCGAAAUUUCACAAGUUUUGGUAGAGGAUAGCCUUUCGUUUGCACAAAAUUUAUGAAAAAUUCUCCUGAAAUAGUUUUUUCCUGAAAUUCCACGUAAGAAUCUCCACUGAAUUUGCGACAAAACGUGACAAAUUUCGGGUCAAACGGAUGAGUAUUCACCAACGAAAAAAAUCAAACAGUUUCACACAAAAACGAACCUUCCUUUCAGCCCUGGCAGUAAUGAAUAAAAAAAUUAUUGCCAAUCUUGCGGGACGAAUUUGGAGCUCAAGUCUCAGCCAAAACUCAAUAGACACAGUGCCGAACGUCUGGUAAAAAUUUCAGACGAAAAUACCCAAGGAGUAAGGCGUAGUAAGUCCCAGACUGAGAGUGAACAAAACCGAUUUUCCGAAAACAAAACGUCCUGGCUUUUUUUUCCCGUAUCUUCCUUUUGUGAUUUGUUUAUGGACGUGCCUCCUAACCUGGGUGCAAACAACAUCUGAAAGUACUUGUGUGAGUUUUUUCAGCGCAAUACGGACCCAGAAUAAAAUUACACAAAGUUGGGCGAAUUUUCACAAGUUUUGGUAGAGGAUAGCCUUUGGAUUGCAGAAAAUUUCUGAAAAAUACUUCCGAAAUAGUUUUUUCCUAAAAUUCCACGUAAGAAUCUCCACUGAAUUUGGGACAAAACGUGACACAUUUCGGGUCAAACGGAUGAGUAUUCACCCACGAAAACAAUCAAACAGUUUCACCCACGAAAAACAUCGAACAGUUUCACACACAAACAAACCUUACUUUUUGCUCUGGCAUUGAUGAAUAAAAAAUUUAUUGCCAAUCUUGUGGGACAAAUCUGGAGCUCAAGUCUCAGCCAAAACUCAAUAGACGCAGUGACGAACGUCUGCUAAAAAUUUCUUUCCAAAAUACCAAAGAAGUAAGGCGUACUAAGUCCCAGACCGAGAGUGAACAAAACUGGUUUUCCGAAAACAAAACGUCUUGGCUUUUCUUCCACGCAUCAUACUUUUGUGAAUUGUUUAUGGACGUGCCUCCUUACCUGGGUGAAAACAACAUAUGAAAGUACUUGUGUGAGUUUUUUCAGCGCAAUACGGACCCAGAAUAAAAUUGCACAAAGUUGGGCGAAAUUUCACAAGUUUUGGUAGAGGAUAGCCUUUGGUUUGCCCAAAAUUUAUGAAAAAUUCUCCCGAAAUAGUUUUUUCCUGAAAUUCCACGUAAGAAUCUCCACUGAAUUUGGGACAAAACGCGACAAAUUUCGGGUCAAAUGGAUGAGUAUUCACCCACGAAAAAAAUCAAACAGUUUCACACACAAACGAACCUUCAUUUCACCCCUGGCAGUGAUGAAUAAAAAAUUUAUUACCAAUCUUGCGGGACAAAUCUGGAGCUCAAGUCUCAGCCAAAACUCAAUAGACACAGUGACGAACGUCUGGUAAAAAUUUCAUACCAAAAUACCCAAGGAGUAAGGCGUAGUAAGUCGCAGACCGAGAUUGAACAAAACUGGUUUUCCGAAAACAAAACGUCCUGAUUUUUCUUCCCUGUAUCUUCCUUUUGUGAUUUGUUUAUGGUCGUGUCUCCUUACCUGGGUGCAAACAACAUAUGAAAGUACUUCUGUGAGUUUUUUCAGCCCAAUACAGACGCAGAAAAAAUUACACAAAGUUGGGCGUUAUUUCACAAGAUUUGGUAGAUGAUAGCCUUUCGUUUGCACAAAAUUUAUGAAAAAUUCUCCCGAAAUAGUUUUUUCCUGAAAUUCCACGUAAGAAUCUCCACUGAAUUUGGGACAAAAUGCGACAAAUUUCGCAUCAAACGGAUGAGUAUUCACCCGCGAAAAAAUCAAACAGUUUCCCACACAAACGAACCUUCCUUUCAGCCCUGGCAGUGAUGAAUAAAAAAUUUAUUACCAAUCUUGCGGGAUGAAUCUAGAGCUCAAGUCUCAGCCAAAACUCAAUAGACACAGUGACGAACGUCUGGUAAAAAUUUCAGACGAAAAUACCCAAGGAGUAAGGCGUAGUAAGUCCCAGACCGAGAGUGAACAAAACCGAUUUUCCGAAAACAAAACGUCCUGGCUUUUCUUCCCCGUAUCUUCCUUUUCUGAUUUGUCUAUGGACGUGCCUCUUUACCUGGGUGCAAACAUCAUAUGAAAGUACUUGUGUGAGUUUUUUCAGAGCAAUACGGACCCAUAAUCAAAUUGCACAAAGUUGGGCGAAAUUUCACAAGUUUUGGUAGAGGAUAGCCUUUGCUUUGCCCAAAAUUUAUGAAAAAUUCUCCCGAAAUAGUUUUUUCUUGAAAUUCCACGUAAGAAUCUCCACUGAAUUUGGGACAAAACGCGACAAAUUUCGGGUGAAACGGAUGAGUAUUCACCCACGAAAAAAUCAAACAGUUUCACACACAAACGAACCUUCAUUUCAGCCCUGGCAGUGAUGAAUAAAAAAUUUAUUGCAAAUCUUGCGGUACGAAUCUGGAGCUCAAGUCUCAGCCAAAACUGAAUAGACACAGUGACGAACGUCUGGUAAAAAUUUCAUACCAAAAUACCCAAGGAUGAAGGCGUAGUAAGUCCUAGACCGAGAGUGAACAAAACUGGUUUUCCGUAAACAAAACGUCCUGGCUUUUCUUCCACGCAUCUUCCUUUUCUGAUUUGUUUAUGGACGUGCCUCCUUACCUGGGUGCAAACAACAUAUGAAGGUACUUGUGUGAGUUUUUUCAGCGCAAUAUGGACCCAGCAUAAAAUUGCACAAAGUUGGGCGAAAUUUCACAAGUUUUUGUAGAGGAUAGCCUUUGGUUUGCACAAAAUUUAUGAAAAAUUCUGCCGAAAUAGUGUUUUCCUGAAAUUCCACGUAAGAAUCUCCACUGAAUUUGGGACAAAACGCAACAAAUUUCGGGUCAAACGGAUGAGUAUUCACCCACGAAAAAAAUCAAAUAGUUUCACACACAAACGAACCUUCAUUUCAGCCCUGGCAGUGAUGAAUAAAAAAUUUAUUGCCAAUAUUGUGGGACGAAUCUGGAGCUCAAGUCUCACCCAAAACUCAAUAGACACAGUGACGAACGUCUGGUAAAAAUUUCACACCAAAAUGCCCAAGGAGUAAGGCGUAGUAAAUCCCAGACCGAGAGUGAACAAAACUAGUUUUCCGAAAACAAAACGUCCUCGCUUUUCUUCCCCAUAUUUUUCUUUUGUGAUUUGUUUAUGGAAAUGCCUCCUUACCUGGGUGCAAACAACCUAUGAAAGUACUUGUGUGAGUUUUUUCAGCGCAAUACAUGAUGAGAAUUAAAUAAAGGAGGCCUAUAGUAAUGAAGGACAAGGUCACUCGCCCUCACACUUAAAAAUCUUGUUAUUAAUCUUUGCAAAAGUUGAAGCCCAAGCCCAAGAAGCCCAAGCAAAUCCCAAGCCCAAAGCUCAAGCCCAUAUCUCAAGCCCAAAAAAGGCCAUGCCAAGCCCAAGUUCAAACCAUGAAGGGAAGGCCAAACAAUAAAUAAAAGAGCAUCAUGUGAAUUGCUUUUGGAUAGUUAUAGGAGGUAUGAAUAUUAAAUAAAGAGUGUGAGCUUAGUAAGGGGGGUGUAGAAAUAAUAAGGAGGUGCCAAAGUGAGAGAGGAAGUCACACCUUCCUCAUGUCUAUAGUUGGCGCCACUUUCAUGUAAUUUGGGGGGGAAUUUUGAAUUUGAUUAGCUUUGCAUUUCAGCACCUCUAGGCUAUAAAUUAAGGUGUUGCCCUUGUAUUUUUCAGAUUUGAAUUUUGAUUAGAGAAACUAUACUCAAUUUUUGAGAAAGCAUUGGAGAGCUUUGUGCCUUCCUCACUAGUCUUAUCUUGAGAGUUCAAUGGUUACCUCAAGUGGCGGCUUGCACACUCAUCUUGGAGUCACCAUCCUCUAAGUGGCGUGAUCAUCCAACCAUUCCUCCAUCUUCAUGAGCUUUCUCUUCUCCUUCCUUCCUUCUCUUUUAAUUGUUCAUGUCUUGGCUUGCUUCCUUUGAUUUUCUAUUCGGCAUUUUCAAUUCUUACGAGUUUUGCUUCAGUUCAUUUGCUUCCUUGCUGUUCUUCAUUGUUUCUUCUUCAUUUCUAGUCUUUAUGUUCGGUUCAAUUCAGUUCUAAUCCAUUUUGUUCGGUGCAUUUGCUUUUCCUUCCAUUUUAAUCGGUUCAAUUUGACAAUAAUUGGAACUUCCAUAUGAGUUUGGGUUUUGGUACUAGUUUUGGUGAGUUCUUGUUCAUAGAACCUUGAUCCAAUUCUAUGAUAAAGUGCCUAUCUCAUAUCCAACUCAAGUUGAUUCCUAAGAAUGUCAAGAAUCAUUCAUAUUGUGCUAUUGGAAUCUCAUCAAUACGGACCCAGAAUAAAAUUUCACAAAGUUGGGCAAAAUUUCACAAGUUUUGGUAGAGGAUAGCCUUUGGUUUUCACAAAAUUUCUGAAAAUUCUCCCGAAAUAGCUUUUUCCAGAAAUUCCACGUAAGAAUGUCCACCGAACUUGGGACAAAACGCGACAAAUUUCGAGUCAAACGGAUGAAUAUUCACCCACGAAAAAAAUCAAACAGUUUCACACACAAACGAACCUUCCUUUUAGCCCUGGCAGUGAUGAAUAAAAAAUUUAUUGCCAAUCUUGUGAGACGAAUCUGGAGCUCAAGUCUUAGCCAAAACUCAAUAGACACAGAGACAAACGUCUGGUAAAAAUUUCAGACCAAAAUACCCAAGGAGUAAGGCGUAGUAAGUCCCAGACCGAGAGUGAACAAAACUGGUGUUCCGAAAACAAAACGUCCUGGCUUUUCUUCCCCGUAUCUUCCUUUUGUGAUUUGUUUAUGGACGUGCCUCCUUACCUGGGUGCAAACAACAUAUGAAAGUACUUGUGUGAAUUUUUUCAGCGCAAUACAGACCCAAAAUAAAAUUUCAUAAAGUUGGGCGAAAUUUCACAAGUUUUGGUAGAGGAUAGCAAUUGGUUUGCACAAAAUUUCUGUGAAAAUUCUCCCGAAAUAGUUUUUUCCUGAAAUUCCACGUAAGAAUCUCCACUGAAUUUGGGACAAAUCGCGACAAAUUUCGGGUCAAACGGAUGAGUAUUCACCCACGAAAAAAAUCAAACAGUUUCACACACAAACGAACCUUCCUUUCAGCCCUGGCAGUGAUGAAUAAAAAAUUUAUUGCCAAUCUUGUGGGACAAAUCUGGAGCUCAAGCCCUAGCCAAAACUCAAUAGACACAGUGACGAACGUCUGGUAAAAAUUUUAGACCGAAAUACCGAACGAGUAACUCAUAGUAAGUCCCAGACCGAGAGUGAACAAAACUGGUUUUCCGAAAACAAAACGUCCUGACUUUUCUUCCCCGUGUCUUCGUUUUGUGAUUUUUUUAUGGACGUGCCUCCUUACCUAGGUGCAAAGAACAUAUGAAAGUACUUGUGUGAAUUUUUUCAGCGCAAUACGGACCCAAAAUAAAAUUUCACAAAGUUGGGCGAAAUUUCACAAGUUUUGGUAGAGGAUAUCCUUUGGGGUGCACAAAAUUUCUGAAAAAUUCUCCUGAAAUAGUUUUUUCCUGAAAUUUUACAUAAGAAUCUCCACUGAAUUUGGGACAAAACGCGACAAAUUUCGGGUCAAACGGAUGACUAUUCACCAACGAAAAAAAUCAAACAGUUUCACACACAAACGAACCUCUCUUUCAGCCCUGGCAGUGAUGAAUAAAAAAUUUAUUGCCAAUCUUGUGGGACGAAUCUGGAGCUCGAGUCUCAGCCUAAACUCAAUAGACAUAGUGACGAUUGUCUGGUAAAAAUUUCAAACCAAAAUUCCCAUGGAGUAAUGCGUAGUAAGUCCCAGACUGAGAGUGAACAAAAUUGGUUUUCCGAAAACAAAACGUCCAUGCUUUUCUUCCCCGUAUCUUCCUUUUGUGAUUUGUUUAUGGAUGUGCCGCCUUACCUGGGUGCAAACAAUAUAUGAAAGUACUUGUAAGAAUUUUUUCAGCACAAUACGGACCCAGAAUAAAAUUGCAGAAAGUUGAGCGAAAUUUCACAAGUUUUGGUAGAGGAUAGCAUUUGGUUUGCACAAAAUUUCUGAAAAAAUCUCCCGAAAUAGUUUUUUCUUGAAAUUCCUCAUAAGAAUCUCCACUUAAUUUGGGACAAAACGCGAAAAAUUUUGAGUCAAACGAAUGAGUUUUCACACACGAAUGAACCUUCCUUUCAGGCCUGACAGUGAUGAAUAAAAAAUUUAUUGCCAAGCUUGUGGGACGAAUCCGGAGCUCAAGUCUCUUCCAAAAUACAAUAGACACAGUGACGAACGUCUGUUAAAAAUUUCAGACCAAAAUAUCCAAGGAGUAAGGCGUCGUCAGUCCCAGACCGAGAGUGAACAAAACUGGUUUUCCGAAAACAAAACGUCCUGACUUUUCUUUCUUGUAUCUUCCUUUCGUAAUUGGUUUAUGGACGUGCCUCCUUACCUGUGUGCAAACAACAUAUGAAAGUACUUGUGUGAAUUUUUUCAGCGCAAUACGGACCCAGAAUAAAAUUGCAGAAAAUGGGGCAACAUUGCACAAGUUUUGGUAGAGGAUAGCCUUUGAUUUGCACAAAAUUUCUAAAGAAUUCUCCCGAAAUAGUUUUUUCCUGAAAUUCCACGUAAGAAUCUGCACUAAAUUUGGGACAAAACGCGAAAAAUUUCUGGUCAAACAGAUGAGUAUUCACCUACGAAAAAAAUCAAACAGAUUAAUACACAAACGAACCUUCAUAAUUUUUAAUUGUGUUUAAAAAAUUUAUUGCCAAUCUUGUGGGACGAAUCCUACGAAGGUUCGUUUCUUUGUGAAACUGUUUUAUUUUUUUUUCUAACUAAAUUCUCAUCUGUUUAAGCUGAAAUUUAUUGCAUUUGGUCCCAAAUUUUGUUGGGAUUCUUACACAGAAUUUCAAUGAGAAACUAUUUCGGGAAAAAAAUUCUGAAAUUUCUUGCACUCCAAAACUAUCCUCUUUCCAGAUUUGUGAAAUUUUUCCCUAAUUUAUGCAAUUUUGUUUUGAGUUCAUAUUACGUUGACCUUGUUAAGAAUAUUUCCCAGCAUUCCUCCUCGAGGUAAAGAAUAGAUGUCAAAUGUCAAUCACACCCAAGUAAUGAAUAGAUGUCAGAUGUCACAAUUUGUCUAUCCUCAUAAAAGGAUUUAUUAAAUUAUCCAUUGUUCGCGUUCCCGAAGGUCCCUCUCUUUUAAGAGAAUUCACGGCAUGUUAAAUCCUUGUAAAAAUAUUGUAGAUUUUAGGUAUUAUAUAAUACAAAAAAUUUAAAAAGAAAGAUUUCUGACUAAAAUUUUCCUAAAAGAGGUUAGGGUAGAUGUAAAAGCAAAAUGUAAUAUCUAUUCGUUGAUAAAAGUAGGAUUUAUUUUCUUUGUAAGUGAUUUUUUUUUUCAAAAGCAUGCAUAAAAUGAAACUUUUGAACUACACUAGAAACAAAUUGAGAAACAUUCAUUAGAAAAAAAGAAGAUUAAAAAAAGUGUACAAGUUCGUUAGAAAAUAUAAGAAAAGUAAGAAAAAGAUUAAAUACAUGUGUUUAUUUAUCCUAAUUAUUUUUUGUCUCUAAAAUUGGUUUAUAUUUCAUGAUUUUUUUUCUAGUGUAUGUAGUUAUGUGUUCGCAUGGAUUUCAAAAUUUCUCAUAUUUUAGGAAAGGAAAUAAUUGUGAACUGCUUUUGCUCUGCAUGAUGAGUGAGAGCAUUGAUGGACAACAAAUAUAAUUGAAACAGUAACAUACAAAUAAGAAAAGUGGGUUCUAUUUUAUUCCUUCAAAGACAAGUUUAGAAUCAAAUAGACCCACCAAGAGGUUCAACAAAAGAGUUUGGUUCAGAAAUCCACUUUCCAAUCUACAAUGUUCUAAGAAUUAAUGUUUAAAGUAUUUGCAUUUCAAAACUCCAUUCUAAGAAUUAAGGGUUGUAUAGGNNNNNNNNNNNNNNNNNNNNNNNNNNNNNNNNNNNNNNNNNNNNNNNNNNNNNNNNNNNNNNNNNNNNNNNNNNNNNNNNNNNNNNNNNNNNNNNNNNNNNNNNNNNNNNNNNNNNNNNNNNNNNNNNNNNNNNNNNNNNNNNNNNNNNNNNNNNNNNNNNNNNNNNNNNNNNNNNNNNNNNNNNNNNNNNNNNNNNNNNNNNNNNNNNNNNNNNNNNNNNNNNNNNNNNNNNNNNNNNNNNNNNNNNNNNNNNNNNNNNNNNNNNNNNNNNNNNNNNNNNNNNNNNNNNNNNNNNNNNNNNNNNNNNNNNNNNNNNNNNNNNNNNNNNNNNNNNNNNNNNNNNNNNNNNNNNNNNNNNNNNNNNNNNNNNNNNNNNNNNNNNNNNNNNNNNNNNNNNNNNNNNNNNNNNNNNNNNNNNNNNNNNNNNNNNNNNUUUAAUGCCUAAAAAUCUUGAUGAAAUAUACUUUUAAAUUCCAAUUACAAGUUCCUUAGAUACAGAAUGUCCUUUAUGUCCACUGCAGUUUCCAUUCAAAACUUCAUUUUUUGGAUCAUUUAGUUCCAGUGAUCUAUUAUUAAGUUUAAGUUCAUUUUUUGUCAGAAACUGUAGUAACAUGAAAUAAGAACACAGAAUACUCUGUUCGGAAUGGAUAGCUACACGAUUUUCGUAGUAUUCUAAAAUUAGGAAAAACAUUCGGUUGGAAUUUAAUUUCAACAGAAAAAUUGAAAUAAUUUUGCACGAAAAUAAGAGUAAAAUAAAAGUAAUUGAUUCAUGAAAAACGUAGUUGAGUUCAAGUAUAUCAUGUGCUGCUCUUGUUUGAAAAAUGGCAAUUAUAGGGUUACCGUUUGCAACUAACAAAAUGGUAAUCGAAAAGGUACAAAGAUAUUCUGGAGAAUUGGAACCUGUUGAAGUGGCAGACAAAUUGAAAUAGGUGCACGCCUAAUUUUGAACUUCUGACUCAUCUUAUGAAAGUUCCAGUUUUUGGAUGUGAGCAAUCUUUCCCCAGUCUUCGCCAUCUGGAUUUCGACACCGCUCCUUCAGCAAUGGACAAUCGAAGAUUGUAAGAGAAGAGAUGGAUUUGGGGAGACCCUCCGCUGGUAAGCAUUCAAGGCUGGGACAAUCCUCAAAUAUGAGAGAGGAGAGGUGGCAGAGACCUUUGUAGUGCAUCUUUUUAAGAUUUGGACACCAACGGAUUUCUAGAGAGGUGAGAGAGCGUGGCAGCAAAACUUCAUCGGGAAAACACUCCACCUCCAACUUGUAAAUACACAACCUUUGAAGAGAUGUGUUGGGGUCCAAGUUGUCUCUCAAGGAGGCGAUAAGUUUUAAACAUGAAAGAGACAUUUGUUUUAUAUUUAAUGGCAAACCUCCAUCUGGGAACAACUCCACUUCUGGACAAUUAAUUAUAUGCAGCCCAGUAAGGGACGGAAACAGGAUUUGCAUGCGUUUGGGAAACAGGAAUGAUUUUAAUUGAGGGCAAUCAUUAAUACGUAGAUGCAUGAGAUGAUUAUGAGCGUACUCCUGUGAAAUUCUUUCUAUGUGGUGGCACAAUGUCAGUUCAAGAGAAAGGAGCUUUGGAAAGAAAUGUAGUCGAAAGAUUGCAAGAGAGUCGGUGCCUCCAUCAGUAUGCGAUGUGUCCAUACUGUUUCCGCUAAUUCUGAGCUCAUCACUAACAACUACUUUCGUACCUUUCAGUUUCGGACAUUUAAACACAAAAAGGUCUUGAACACGUGGAAAAGAAGUAGUUUUACACUCCCAUUCUUCCCAUUCCUUCAUAUUAUAGAAGUCUAAGCUCUCCAAGGAUGCAAACGAAGAGUUGCUCCCAUAAAAUUCGGCACCAAUGCUCACUAUUCCAUCAAGACCUCUAAUCUCAAGGGUCUUCAGUGAUGACAAAAGUCCAAGGGGAGGCAAACAUAGGCAGUAUUUACAUUUAAACAACUUUAAGAACACCAGAUUUGAUAACGAAUUAUCGAAUUCCCAACUUGGGAAUUCUGUAGCAUUGUAGUUCCAGAUUGACAAUUUCUCCAAGUGAUUGGAAGGUUGUAGAUUCUGAAGUACUUCCUUUUCUUUCUUUGGAUCAUCAGGGAUGUGGUCCGACUUCCAAUAUAAUUGUAGCUCCACAAGGCGUUUAUCUUUCAAAUUUGCUUUUAAUGCAUCCAAAGGAUUCCCAAUAUUCUGCACGUCAAUGAUUGAUAGCCUUCCAUGAAGAUUGAGUCCUCCCAAUCCGCCCAGUUCCUUAGUACUUAGCUCACUAUUUUUAUCCACGAAAAACAUACUUAGUACUUGAAGAUUCUUCAAUUCUCCAAAAUGCAUUGGCAUCUUUCUCACUUUUGUACCUACAAAUUCCAGGCAACGCAAUUUGGUAAGCUUAUGCAAAUUUAAGGGAAACUCCUCCAACAUUGAACAAUUGUUCAACUUCAGUAUUAGUAAGUUAUAGAGCAAACAUAUCGAGUCAGGUAGCUUUUGUAUCUCUGUAGACGAAAGAUCUAACGAUUGGAGAUGUUUAAGAUCACCUACAGAAUCUGGGACCUCUCUAAGGUGUAAACAACCACGGAAAGAUAACACGCGUAUAAACUUAAUAUUGGAAAACAAAUCAUGUAUCGAAAUCUUGAAAUCCCAUGGAGAUCUCCCAUAUAGUGAGAUAGGAAGAAAUGAACGAAGUUUUUUAGCAUCAGUUAAACUCUCAAAACCAUCAAAACUUUUGACGUCACGGAAUUCAAAUGAAAAAUGACGGGUUGUUUUCUGUAUAUAUUGUUCAUUAUCAAAUUUCAACCUGAAACAGAAAUCCGCAUAUACAUAUUUUGCCAAAUCAUUCAGAAGGUCAUGCAUGACGAAACGCCCUACGACGCUUGAUUUGUUAAAAAAACACCUUGACAGUAGAUCAUUGAAGUACUCUUCCCCAAUUUGUUCUGGAUGUCUAAUAUGUUGUGUACUCAGUAGAAAAUUUUGGGCCAUCCACAAAAAAAUUAACUCCUCCUUCACAAACUCAUAAUCUUUGGGGAAUAAGGCACAAUAAGCAAAGCACCUUUUAAGAUGAGAAGGAAGAUGGUGAUAGCUCAAAAAUAACGCAGGAAUAAUUUCACUGUGUUCUUUUGGUAGCUCCCAUAUGUUACUUUCCAAUAUGUUCUUCCAAUCUGAAAUGGAUGACUUUGUGCUCAAAAGACGUCCAAUUGUUUUCAGAGCUAGAGGUAAUCCCUUGCACUUCUCAACUAUUCUUCUACCAACCUUCAUUAACUCAUCAUUCAAUUCAAGAUCACCAUCUUUUAAUGCAUUAUUUUCAAAAACUUUCCAGCAUUCACCCUCUCCUAAUUGCUUUAGAAGAUGCACUUUAGACCUCAUGCUAGAAGCAACUUUCUCACUGCGAGUUGUGACAAGAAUUUUACUUCCUGGAGCCCCAUAGCUAAGAGGAGUUCCCACAGCUUCCCAUUCAGCUGGUCUUUCGUUCCAAACAUCAUCCAAAACAAGAAGAAAUUUCUUUCCUGACAAUUUUUCUUUCAGUUUUUUGUGAACCAUUUCUAGGUUAACACUAUCAUCUUUUUGAUUUGUGAUUGCCUCUAGAAUUGUUCUUGUCACCGUCAAAACUUGAAAAUGAUCAGAAACACAGACCCAUGCUUUCAUAUCAAAUUUUGCAUCUUCGAUCUUUGGGUCACUGUACACAUGCUGGGCGAGUGUGGUCUUACCCAACCCACCCAUGCCCACAAUGGAAAGUAUUGAUGGCUGGUUAGGAUUGUCGAUUUCAGAUGUGAGCCAAUUAAUGAUUAUAUCUUUGUCAGCAUCUCUACCGUAAAUAACACUUUCAACCACCAAAGAAGAUGACUGCAAUUUCUGUGAGACUCUACUGCCUGAUCUAUCAUUAUCAUCCGAAUAAGUACCCUUUUCCAAACCAAGAGCAUCCUUUUGGUUUGCAAGAUAUUCUAGUCUCCGCAGGACUUCUUUCAUCCCUGAUUCAAUUUUCUUGUUAAAUGAACUGAAAGUAGAGUUGAAGAAAUUUGAUACCUUGUAAGUACAGGUUUGAGGUUGGGAUUGAGCUUCGACUUGGCAUCUGGUGAGCUUAUGGUCUAUUUCACCCAACAGAUCCUCUGCAUCAAAGACAGCCUCUUUGACAGCUAAAAGCCAUGCUUUGACGUGUGGAUCUGUGAGCUGCUUUAGUUCAGCAUCAUCAGCGAGAGCAUUUAUGGAAUGCAGCAUGAUGUUCAAAUUGGCGAGGAGCUUCUCAUCAAGUUUUCUUCUACGAAAGAAGUGUAGAAAUUGAGGAGAAGCGAGCCUGUCGAAUGCAACCUGAAGAAAGGCCGAAAGAAGAGCACCACCAACAAGUUCAGCUGCCAUGGUAGGAAGGAGUUGGAAAUGAAGUGAAAUGGAUUGAAUGCAGGAAUGAAUGGCAAAGUGAUGAGAAGAGUAGUUAGAAAGGAUGACUUGACUUUAAAAAGAACAUGUUUUUGUUUAAUGGGAACUCAACCAAUAUAAAAUGUGAGCUGUUGGAUAUUGAUUCAACGGUUGUGAUGAAUGAAAGUACGGCAGGAAGAGGAACGUACAAUGCAAUAAUUGUUGACAACUGUAAUCAAUGAAUGUAUGUCUGAUUAUUAGGUGAAAUAUUAAAUGAUAUCUGACUCGAAAUAAUAUCUUUUAUGUAACAAUUAUAUUAUAUUCAUGCAAAUUUAGUUGAUGUACUAAUUCCCAUCCUUUCCUUAUUCACUUAAUUUGGUUUAUCUGUCUUUCUUUGUCUCUUUAUUUAUCAUUUUUUUAAUUUGGUUCAAUAGUAAUUUUUAUCUCUUUAUUUAUACUUUUAUUAUUUAUGAAAGGUCUCAAAUUAGUUUUACUUUUAUUUAAAAUUAGUCAGAAAAGAUAUUUUAAUAUUGUUUCAUUGAAUAACUUUAGAGUGGGACUUAACAUUGAUUUGGUAUUAUUGUAGGUACGUAUUAAAUUUGGAUGAUAUUAUGAUAUAUGUGAUUUUAGAAGAAUACAGUGAAGUUCACUGCAAGAAAAAGUGUUUUUAGAAACUAAUUUUUUAGUUUCUAAAAUGCUAAAAUUAGUCACUAACUUCAUUAGAGACUAAUUUAGAAACUAAUAGUUUUAAGUGGCUAAAAUCAUGGUCGUUAAUUUUAAAUACCAAUUUAGAUUCUAAUUUAGAAACCAAUUUAGUUACCAUUAAAUAAAAACCAAUUUAGUGACCAAAUAUAUAGAAACUAAUUUAGUGAUCAAUUAUAUAGAAACCAAAUUAACAACUAAUUUCAUUGAAACCAAUUUAGUGACCAAAAUAUAUAGAAACUCAUUUAGUGACCAAUAUAUAGAUACCAAAAAAUGGUCACUAUAUUAGUCUCUAUAUAAUAUAAUUUAUUACAAAAAUAUUAUUUUAUUUACCUACUUACUCUUUCAUAUUUUAUAUUUAUUUGUAGAUUUAAGUUCACUAAUUUUAAAAUAAAUUUAUAGAGUUCGUCAACUCAAAGUAAUUAGUUCAGAAUCUAAAUAUGGUUAGAAGUGAACAAUUUUUUUAAAUUUUACAAUUUCUUUUUAUGAAUUAUGAAUGUGAACUAAUAUUGUCGUAAAAAUUGGAAGAUAAUCACAUAAAUCCAAGUUAAAUUAUUUGUAUAGGCAGUUCAAAUCUUUGUACAGAACUUUUUAAGGCUUCUUCACAAAUCUUUUCCUUGGGCACUCCAAUCUCCUUGGCCAAAUUCUCUACCCCAAUUUGAGAAUCUAUCACUUUAUCAAAGCGAAUGUAUCUACCAGAAGCAUUGUUGUUCAUUGCCUUGAACACACUUGCAUGAGCUUCAGCAAAUUUGGUCACAUACACUGUUGUUGGCAGACCAAGAGACUACAUUUCUUGACCACCUGCAUUAGCAAUUAUAAAGUAUUUAGAUUAUUAUGCAAACCACAAUGAACUUUUGAACAUGUUAUAUUAUUGUUAUUCUACUCAUGGUUUCUGAAACCAUUUUCAAUUUGAUAAAAUUCAGUUUUUUUUCUCCAGUUUAAAAAUAUAAGCACCAGGAGAAACUUAAAACACAGUUUUCUCUAGUAUAUUAAUAGCAAAUUGUGCAAGAAACAGGACCAAUUAUUUUGGUCAAUAGUAGCACCUUUGAGGUAAGCAAUUGUUGCUGUUGGAUUCCUAUGACAAAAUUGAGGACCUGUGUUAAGAGCUGGGGAAAUGGUAGUGAGCUUUAAACCCUUCUCAUUAGUUAUUCUCCAACAGCCUUCUCUACUCUCAUCUUACCCAGUGCACACCAAAGCUGCCAUACGUAUUCAAAAGAGAUAGCAAAGUCAUGAAUACUAGUUUAUUACCUACAUAAACAUUUUAGAUGGUAAAGAAAAAACUAAGAAAACAACAUUAAUAAGGUGCAAUCAUUGUGCAAAGUUUACAUUCUUUUCUAUGCAGAAUGAUUCACUGCUCCAAGAGCCAUAACUGGGGUGAGGUCUGAUUGUUCAUUUUCUUGCCAGACACAAGCUAAAUAUAAAAAUUAGAGAUAAUUUCAUUAACCAAAAUAUAUAAAAAAAAAAAAUCUUUUGCAAAGUAAAAACAACACCAAAUUGCAGAUUUUCUAGAAUAGAAAGACAUUAAUCUAUCAUACAUCCAACUUCGAUUUUGACGAAUAUCUAUAAUUUAUCGUAUAACACAAUGCUUCAUUCAACUAUAAAAGAAAGUUUUAUAAAAAAAAUCUUAUAAUCUAUCGUUGCUUAAUUUAUUUGAGAACAAUAAAAUAUAUCCUAGACUAUGAACAUAAAAAAAAUCACAAAGGAAAAUACAAUGACUAAAAUAAAAAAUGUCUAACCUUUUUUUUCACCGGAAGAACAAGGGAAACUUGUAGUCACACAGGUGCUAGCCUUGGACUAAAAGAACUCAACCUAUUUACUUACCUACCACACAUAUUAGCUACGUAGACAUUCAACAAAACAGUUUCGUAUAUAAGACUUCUAAAAACCAUUCUUUCCAUUGACAAUUUUUUAGCAUGCAGAUCUUGACAUUCUUCCUCAGAAAAGUCAUCAUUUGAAUUUCCCUAUAUCAUAUAUACCAUAUAUACCUUAUCAACUAGCUUCUCUCAACCAUAUAAGUAUUUGGUGUUCAAAACAUGUGAUAAAGAAAAGUGAGAUAAAAACUUUGAGAGAGGUAUAUUCUAGAAUCCCAAAAGAAAUACAUUGAAAUAAAAGGGGAAAAUAAUAAUUGGUGAUAAUAGGAGGAGAAUGAUAAUGAAAUGAAGAUAAGUCCAAUUAUAAAUUAUGGGCGCAACAAUCAAACAAUAUCUAAUAAGAAGGGCCUAUUUUCUGUGUUGGGUAGUGAUAUAGAUGCCACUUUACAAAAGCAGUGUUCUUAUUAACAUAAAAAACCUUAGACAUUGCAUGUGUUGUUCUCAGAGUUAAACUUAAAUGAGCUCUUGAUAUGUUUGUUGCCCUGUUCUUUAAAGAACCUUUCAAUAAUUCAUGAUCCCAUUUUCAUUCAUACACACAUACAAACAAACAAACAUAGACUUCAUUCGGCCUAACCAAGAAAUUUGAAAUAAUAACGGUUUUCCCAUUGAAGAUGGAAUUAAGAAGCUAUGGCCAUGCAAUGGAGGAACAAGAGGGACAUGAGGAGAUGUAGAGAAAACAAGUAUUGAAUAGCACACACCAAUUAAAAUGAUAAGUAUAGUGCAUGAAAUUACUUUUGUGUUAUAAGGGCUUCAAGGGGUGUAUCACAUAAAACAAGUGGGACAUCUUAAUUAAAUUCUUCAAAAAAGAGUAUGGUUGUGAAAGUAGUUUCAGCACUACAUAUUGAAGUUAGGACAUAGCAUCACCAUACACUUCCCAUUAUUCCUUUGGUUCUCAAAUUAAAGUUAUCCUGUCAUGAAUCAAGUUGGCCAAACUUUUAGCAUUUGACUUUUAGUCUUUAGGAGUAUCUAUGAGCACAGACGUACCAAAUACAAAUACCAACCAACUCAGUAGAGAGUUUACAUAUGUGUACAACUUGACUUAAAUGUAAUGAAUGGUCAAGUACAUAACACUCCCAACUAAUGGGAAAAGAAAGAUAGAUUUAAAGUAUCAAUAUGUGAGGUUGUUUUCGGGUUUUAAAGUAUCAAUAUGUGAUGUCUGGUAACAAGACAGAUACCUCAUUGUUGCACCACUAACCAAUCCUUAAUCCUUAUCCUAAAUUAUAUACUGAUGAAUUUUUUAAUUUAUAAUAAAUUUAGUUCUUCUUUCAGGUUUGUGAUACAGAUCUAUGAUACUUAUAUUUGCUUCACCCAUCUCAUACCGUUUUUAAUCUAUAUGUAACUGUAAAGUGUUUAAAUCUUUAAAGCAUUUUAUGAAAAUCCAAUACAAUUACAUGAAACAUAUAGGUAUGUGUAAUAUAGGAAGGUUGUCCCUUGAAAAUUCAAAAUAUGAGAAUUGUUCUCUUUAUGAAUGAUUUCAAUAUAAAAAUGAGAUUGAUAGUAUUAUUCUUGUAUGUAAAUAGUAAAAAUUAAUUUAAAUAUGUAGGUUGUAUUAACUGAACAUAUGAACUUAUUUAAGCUCUCCAGGAUAUCUGCAUUUGCAAGAUCAAGCAAUGAGGGCAUUUUGCUUAAAUUUUGGAAUACUCUGGCCUAUGAACAUAUUAGUUCUUUGUUUCUACUGUUUCAUUACGAUUUAAUGGUGCUUAGAUUGUUAUACUACUCAAUAGCAAAAUCCAACAUAAAAAAACAAAGAACAAUUUUCAGACUAAUUAACAUCCAGGGGUUCCACACAACAUAUACAGGAGUACAUCUCACUGCCAGUGUCCUAAACAGUGUCUGCAUAAUAAAUUCAAUGCUGCAUAUGUAGGGGUUUCACAGCUUGGUUGAUUAUCUAUAAUUCAAUUUCUCUAUAAUUUAACAUAAUCCACCUAGUCCUUUUCCAUUACACAGAAACAAAUACACGAGUGUGGAAAAGGUAGCUUAAGUAUGUGUUCAUGAAAACAACUUUAAGUUAUUAUCAAUUAGAGUUUGUUCUCUAAAUUUGAUCAUUAAACUUAAAGGAAUAAGCUAAAAGGAGUUUUUUGGAAAAAGGUUAUCUAAGAAGCUUAUUGAAAUAAUAGAGAUUAUACGAGUCAUAAGCUCNNNNNNNNNNNNNNNNNNNNNNNNNNNNNNNNNNNNNNNNNNNNNNNNNNNNNNNNNNNNNNNNNNNNNNNNNNNNNNNNNNNNNNNNNNNNNNNNNNNNNNNNNNNNNNNNNNNNNNNNNNNNNNNNNNNNNNNNNNNNNNNNNNNNNNNNNNNNNNNNNNNNNNNNNNNNNNNNNNNNNNNNNNNNNNNNNNNNNNNNNNNNNNNNNNNNNNNNNNNNNNNNNNNNNNNNNNNNNNNNNNNNNNNNNNNNNNNNNNNNNNNNNNNNNNNNNNNNNNNNNNNNNNNNNNNNNNNNNNNNNNNNNNNNNNNNNNNNNNNNNNNNNNNNNNNNNNNNNNNNNNNNNNNNNNNNNNNNNNNNNNNNNNNNNNNNNNNNNNNNNNNNNNNNNNNNNNNNNNNNNNNNNNNNNNNNNNNNNNNNNNNNNNNNNNNNNNNNNNNNNNNNNNNNNNNNNNNNNNNNNNNNNNNNNNNNNNNNNNNNNNNNNNNNNNNNNNNNNNNNNNNNNNNNNNNNNNNNNNNNNNNNNNNNNNNNNNNNNNNNNNNNNNNNNNNNNNNNNNNNNNNNNNNNNNNNNNNNNNNNNNNNNNNNNNNNNNNNNNNNNNNNNNNNNNNNNNNNNNNNNNNNNNNNNNNNNNNNNNNNNNNNNNNNNNNNNNNNNNNNNNNNNNNNNNNNNNNNNNNNNNNNNNNNNNNNNNNNNNNNNNNNNNNNNNNNNNNNNNNNNNNNNNNNNNNNNNNNNNUUGAACUUCUUAGGAGUAUUUCCAUGAGUUCUCUUAAUAGGGAGGAACAAGAUGUCCUUGAAUGGGGUGGGGAUUCUUCUGGUGAGUUUACGGUUAAGUCUGCGUACAAAUGCUUGGAAAACCAUGCGCCAAUUUGGCCUGAGGGCUUCUUCAAACAGUUGUGGCAGGUCAAAGCACUCCCUAAUGCUCUGACCACUGCAUGGAAGGUCUUGUUGGACAAAAUGCCAACUCGUAGUAGUUUGAGUAGAAGAGGAGUGUUAGUUGAAACCACGGGAUGCGCGUUAUGCCAAGGUUCGGUAGAAACCUCUUACCACCUUUUCUUGGAAUGCAUAGUAGCACAACAGGUGUGGUUUUUGUGUCUAAGGUGGAUGGGGAUUUUGUUUGUCCAACAUAAGGACUUGAAGGUCCACUUUGAAAACUUUCACCUAGUACACUUGAACACAAAGCAAAACCUUGUGUGGAAAGGUUUGUGGGUGACAGCUGUGAGAGGAAUAUGGGAACAAAGAAACCUAGUCAUUUUCAAGCAGGGAAAGCCUGAUGCGGAAGAGAUCUUUCACCGGGCACAACUCAACUCUUGGUUUUGGUUGAAAAACAGAGUACACAAUUUUAACUUCUCUUUCUCAGAUUGGAUCUUAAACCCUGAGCUUUGUGUUAAGAGUUAUAGAUGAAGCACUCUGGUGUCAAGAGGCAAUCCCUGGAUCUGUGGUCGAUGCUUGACCACAGGCAUGGAGUAUGGAGUUUGUUCGUUGUCAAGGUGGUGUUGUUGAGGAAGUUUGAGGCUUGUUUUAUCAAAGCCUGGUUCUGCCAUUGCAAGGAGGGGUGAAGGUUUAGGUUGACAGGCAGGAACCCCUCUAUUUGGGUGAGCUGGUGGUUACUAUACCGGUCCAGGUCAUCAUGGCUUGUGUCUUUGCAAUAGCUCUUGUAUGAACUUUGGAGGUAUCGGCAUUGUUGAUAUGCUGGUUCUGCUAUAUAAACAAUGCACUUGGUGUUAUUUUUUGGGUUUGAGGCAUAUGUUGCGGUCUAUGGUCAAGCUACUGAUAUACUUGGUAGAUGCAUGGUGGUAUGUAGUGGUUCAGGAAGCAAAUGCAGCAAAGUCCGGUAAUCUUUUAUGUUGUGCUGGUCACACCUAGCUGUUAGCAUGUUUUCCCUAGCAGCUUUCCCUCAUCACCAGGCUUUUGUUUUGUUUUGUGCUGGUGUUAUGCAGACUCAGGUUUUGGGACUGAGUAUCUGUAACUAGUUUUAAGUUUUUGAGUUAAGUGGUGUGUCGCUUAACUUUGAUCUAAUUGUUGAAUGCUUAUUUAGGAGUUCUUAUGUAUAAGGGUUGGAACACCCCUAAAUUGUUUCUCUUAAAUUCUAUUAAUUCAUUGCUGAUAAAAAAAAAAAAUAAAAAAAAAAAUUUAACAAGGAGUGCAUUGGAUUGGAGAUAGGAUAAGCAUAUUAUGGACCUCGUUGCUGUUGAGAAUCUUUAAAAUUGUAUUCCAGAGAAAGGUUUUAUCAAAGAAAAGAAAGAAAAGAAGAAAAUAAAAGAGAAACAGUUAUGAAAAAAUGGAGUACAACAGCCACUUCUAAGGGUUAUAUUCUGUACUGAUUACUUUACCAAUAACUUCUGCACUUCACAAUUUUCAGUGUCCUAAACAGUGUCUGCAUAAUAAAUUCAAUGCUGCAUAUGUAGGGGUUUCACAGCUUGGUUGAUUAUCUAUAAUUCAAUUUCUCCAUAAUUUAACAUAAUCCACCUAGUCCUUUUCCAUUACACAUAAACAAAUACACGAGUGUGGAAAAGGUAGCUUAAGUAUGUGUUCAUGAAAACAACUUUAAGUUAUUAUCAAUUAGAGUUUGUUCUCUAAAUUUGAUCAUUAAACUUAAAAGAAUAAGCUAAACGGAGUUUUUUUUGGAAAAAGGUUAUCUAAGAAGCUUAUUGAAAUAAUAGAGAUUAUACGAGUCAUAAGCUCAAAUAAACUUCCAAUAAGCUCUUCAAAAUACUUCCUUAGAUAGAAAUAGAAUUAAAAUCCUCAAUUUCUUCAUUUGUUAUGAAUUCAGAGAAUGUUAAUCUUUUUAAAGGCAGGUAAAAGCAUAGACCACAUAGGUAUAAUCAAGUGAAUAUUUAGACGUGAAUUCCUCCUACACCACUCAUGCCAACAUAAUAAUAACUUCCAUGUUUUUCCAAUGGCAGGAUAUCUCAAGAAUGAAGAGUGAUCACUAUUUGUUUAAUGUCUUAUCUAAAAGUAAACCAAAAGCAUAGCUGUAAAAGGAAAAGGAAAAUAAAACUAGUUUAUAUUCAAUACAAGUUCCUUAGAAACAGAAUUCAGAAGAAGCCAUUCUUAAUGUACCCAAUGUUCUCAGUGAUUUCCUUUCAUCUUGUCUCCAGUCAAUACCCCUAGCUUCAUUUUAUCAUGGACAGCCUUUUCAAUAUAUCAUGAACCUGUAUUUUCAUUCAAAAAUAAUCAAGAACAUGAAAACUGAACUGGUGUGAAUAACUGCAUUCUAUUAAGUUUGUUUUCUUUGUCAGAAACUUUAUUAAUUUAACGCACCAAGCAUGGAUCAAGAAGAAAGAUGGAUAAGUGUGGACAAGAAAAUCAAUUUUCUGGAAUACCAAGCUACAGGAUGGUGAUGGAUGGAACUAUACCUUCCAACUACAGAGUAAUCUUUAGAGAAUAAACGCCACAUGCUAGAACUUCAUGCACUUCACAAUUUUUAGUGUCCACAUCCACUUUCUGAAUAUUCAAGUCACAACCAUCAAUCACUAUUUCUUGAAGGAAGUCGUAAUGGAUCAUGGAUAUUUUCACAACUGAGUAAGUCCAAAAGCUGAAGGCAUGUCACCAGAACCAAACUCACUUUAUAUCUAUAAAAGAAAAGGCUGAAUUUCAAUGUUGAAAUAUUUGUUAAUUAUAUGAGAAAGACUACCAUCAUAUUGCCAAAAGUAUCGUAUAAAAGAUGCUUUAAAAUAGUAAUUAAAAUUAAGAUAUUUCUAAUCCCAGGUAUUUAUAUUAUUUAGUUGAACGCAUGCAUUAAAUGAACUAACUAGCAGUGUAUGAAUCAAAUAAUUUAUAAAAUAUCAAGUUGUGUUUUAUCUUACUGAGGGCUAAAUAUGAUUUGUAGAGAAGUAAGUGUGGCAAGCAGAACUUCAUCGGGAAAAGACUCCAUGUCAACCUUUCCAAUACACAAGCUUGGAAAACAUGUGUUUACAUCCAAGGUCUCUCUCAGGGAGGCCAUAAGUUUGAAACUUGAAAGAGACACGUGUUGAAAAUUCCACAUCAAAUAUUCAAGCGACGAGGUGUCCAUGCUGUUUCCGCUAGUCACGACCUUAUCACACAUAAACAUAACUAGUUUCUUUAAAUGAAGAAGAUGUUCUGACAGACCUUUCAGCCUUCUACAACGAUACACAUAAAGACACUGAAGACGUGGAAAAGAAGUAGUUUUCCAUUUUCCAUUCUUAUAAUAUUUUACAUAUUCUAUUCGGUAGAUUCCUUUAGUGCUUUUUUUAAUGCUUUCAAGUGACUUGAGAGGCAUAACCAAGUGUUGUUUCAUAAAUCUAUAAUAGUGAGAAAACAUGAAAUGCUCACAACUACAAAUGUCAUUUACCUUUGCUAGAGACUCUUUCUCCCCUUGUUUUACAAGGGAUAGUGAAUCAUUACAAGCAUACUUGUAAAACUGAUGAGAUACAUAUUUUAUGUUUGAUUACAGAUAUAUAAAACAUUAGCAGAUUGAUUUUUAUUCAACGGUUUUGAUGAGUUGGAGGACUGAAUAAUUCCAGACUUUAAACUUUUAGUGCACAACAAGAGUUUUUCUGUUGCAGGAGGAUCUCCAGAUUGUAGAGGAGAGGUAAUAAAGUAGUAAAAUAUAAUUGAAACAGUAACAUACAAAUAAGAAAAGUGGGUUCUAUUUUAUUCCUCCAAAGACAAGUUUAGAAUCAAAUAGACCCACCAAGAGGUUCAACAAAACAGUUUGGUUCAGAAAUCCACUUUCCAAUCUACAAUGUUCUAAGAAUUAAUGUUUAAAGUACUUCAAAACUCCAUUCUCAGAUGUUGGAGUUUGCUCGGGAAUUGUAUAGGAACUCCUCAUCAGAACCCAAUUUCAUACUUAUUUCCUCUGUAUAAUACAAUGGUACACUGCUACAAACCAACUUUGAAAGAGCUGUGGAAGAAAUAAGGUAUAAAUAAAAGCAUAAGCAC
This 77993-nucleotide long non-coding RNA is filed under the name Phaseolus vulgaris (common bean). RNAcentral describes it as "long non-coding RNA (PVUL_LNC003245)". The record is from RNAcentral. Lineage: Eukaryota; Viridiplantae; Streptophyta; Magnoliopsida; Fabales; Fabaceae.